Molecule: long non-coding RNA, 63893 nt
Filed under: Malus domestica (apple)
Lineage: Eukaryota; Viridiplantae; Streptophyta; Magnoliopsida; Rosales; Rosaceae
Description: long non-coding RNA (MDOM_LNC007212)
Source: RNAcentral
GAGCCAUGAAAUUUACUGUCUUCUCAUGAACAUUGUACCUCCAAAAGCAUGAUGCAAUAAGCAUUCAAUAAUCUGACCUAGUUUGCUCAACAGAUGCUCCAAGAUAUUCCAAAACAAAGUCAUAGCAUUUUCACAUAGGGAACCGAAGAAUCUAUUGAUACCUUAUCUUGCAACUCUUAAGAGGCUCUUCUGUCAACAAUCUUCCUCUUCUAAGCAUGCAACUUUUUAAAGAAUAAAAGGUUUGUCUCUGCGAAUAAUCAAGUUCCAAGCCCACUAUUGAAAAUCAUGUUCAUCCACUCUACACUUCCAAAGCAGCAAACUAACAAUUUCAAAAGCUUUAAAUGCAAUCUGAAUACAUGGCAAGUAGGGGUAAACAUGUGAACAGAAAAAUCAGUGAACAUAAUCAAAUCGAAUAAGUCAAUUUUGGCCGAGAUUGAAAUGAAAAAAACAAGGAAAUGCUUUGUCUAUCGAUUUGUUUAUGAAAAUGGCUAUUCUACAAGAUACAGCAUGACAGGUCUUAGCUAGAACAAGUAACCGGCAUGGAAAUGCUUUAUGAAGCAAGAAUAUGAACUCAAGAGCUUUGUGCCAGAGAGACUUCAGAAAAAUGAAAAAAAAAAAUAUAAAAUAUGGGUAAGAAUAAACAUCGAUCAGACAAUAAUUCACGUAUAAAUCAUUUUUUCAACUUUAAAGUGGUGGCUUAAAAAGAAGCUUUAAACAAGUAGCAAUAAUUUCAUAUUGAAAAAUAAAACCUAUUUCAUGGAUAUUACAAGAGCAUUUAUUUUGAAAAACACACCUUUUGGUUCUUCGCUGCCUGACUUUUAAGAAGAUCUUUGUCCUUGUGACGAUUCAGAUUCUUUAAAAUAUCUUUGCAACGGAAUAAACAAAACCAAUCUAGGCCAAAAUUGACUUAUUCGAUUUGAUUAUGUUUACUGAUUUUUCUGUUCACAUGUUUACCCCUACUUGCCAUGUAGUUUUCGGGGUGUUAGAGCAUAGUGCUCUUCUCUUAACACACAAGUUUUGAUUUUAUUCUUCGUAAAUUAAGAGACCGUUUGAUAAUCAUUUCGUUUUCAGUUUAAAAAAUAUAAAAAACUAAAUGGAGUUUUCAAAAUUUGGCCUAGAAUUUUCGCUUUUGAUUUUUAAUUUUAAUUUUUUUUAAAACAACUGAAAACUAAAAAUAAUUACAAAAGGAAAUUUUCAGUUUUAAAUUUUCCAAAAAGUAAAAACUGAAAACUCUAAACUAUAGACUAAAAAUUAAAAAGUGAAAUCGAAAUGGGCUUUCAACGAAAUUGAAAAAAGACUGGGCUGAAUUAGUGAAUUCAAAGCAGGGCUUAUUAACUCUACGAGGCCCAAUGGAUCCGCAUAAAUAUUUAUCGAUAUUUUUACGCUACGAGACUCAAUGGAUCUGUAUAAAUAUUUUUUUUUUUUACAAACGAUAUUAUUUAUAUGGGCUUAACCUUAAAAUGAGCUAACAAUAAUGUGGUUCAAAUUUGCUUUUGACGAGAAUCGAACAUAAAACUUCUUACUUACAAAUGAAAAGAAAUACCACUAAAUCGUAGUCUGAGUGGCUCGUUAUUUUAUUUUAUAUUUUAAUAAAAAAGAAAGAAAGCAAUGAAAAGCUGUACAUAAACUAAAUACAAAAAGGAAUGAAAUGAAGAAGAGUGGGAGACGAACGUUUAAUUCAAGAUAAAGAAAGAAAGGUAAUCGCACCACGACGGCGGCGACGUGGCGGUCAUUUAACGGAAAAUAACAGACAAAUCAGCCUCCAGAUCAAGUCUUGAAGCACAACUCUGAAAAAUCGAGACUACCUACAGCUGAGCUCCGACCAACCGUUGAUGGAUGCAAUCCGGAAGCUCAGAGAUCAGGUCGCCAAGCAACAGCAGGUACUCUCUCUCUUGUUUGAUUCCGAAUUUGUAUUUCUGUAUGGAUUUUGAUACGAGCAUAAUCUGCGUUGAUUGCGAGAUACUAAGAUUGCUUAAUGAAAUGAUAUUUAUAUAAUUGUUCGAAUUGCAUUGGAUCGAUUCGAGUAGAAUUUCACUAUUUCUGAGCUGUUUGGGGCUGUGUUAGAGUGCAAUGUUGCUGAAUUUCUGAAAUUUUGAGCUAGGUGUUGCUGAUUACUUAUCGAUUUUCGGAUUUAAUUGGAUGCUUAAUUUACAUUUUCGGAAAACUUCAAGCGAAAAUGGCAUAUAAUUCAACGUUCUAUGCCUCAUUAAUGCAUAAGAGUUAGUCGAAGCUUGAUCGAGUUUGCUUUUGAUUAUUUUGUGAACACCGUCAGGCUGUGUUCAAACAAUUUUCUGGUGGCAUAUAUGGGGGAUCGGAUAAUGUUGCCUCGGAUGAAAAUGAAUUUCAACAGCAUCAGAAACUCGAGAAGCUGUACAUAUCAACUCGUGCUGCCAAGGUUGCUACGCUUAUUUUUGUCUGUGCUUUAAACGAGCAUCACGUUAGUUGUGUUACCUAUCGUUUUUUGCUUCUUCUUUAACAGCAUUACCAAAAGGAAAUUGUCCGCGGAGUGGAAGGUUACAUUGUGGCCGGUUCAAAGCACGUUGAAAUAGGUAUGUUGCUUGAAAUGUGUUGUCUUUUCUUGGGAGUUUGGAUAUGAAUUCAUGUUGGUUUUAUCAGUUGGUAUACAUGAUACUUUUUCAACAGGUACCAGGCUAUCAGAAGAUAGCAGGAAAUAUGGUUCUGAAAAGACUUGCACCAGUGGUAACACAUUGUCCAGAGCUGCACUGAGUUUUGGAAGAGCUCGGGCCCAAAUGGAAAAAGAGUGUGGAGUUCUACUUAAAGCUCUUGGCACACAGGUUUAAGUCAAAUUAUUACUAACAAAGCUCAACAACAACAACAACAACAACAACAACAAAGCCUUUUCUCACUAAGUGGGGUCGGCUAUAUGAAUCCUAGAACGCCAUUGCGCUCGGUUUUGUGUCAUGUCCUCCGUUAGAUCCAACUACUCUAAGUCUUUUAGGUCUUCCUCUACCCCUUCGGCCCUGAACCUCUGUCCUAUAGUCACAUCUUCGAACCAGAGCGUCAGUAGGCCUUCUUUGCACAUGUCCAAAUCACCGGAACCGAUUUUCUCUCAUCUUUCCUUCAAUUUUGGCUACUCCUACUUUACCUCAGAUAUCCUCAUUCCCAAUCUUAUCCUUUCUCGUGUGCCCACACAUCCAACGAAGCAUCCUCAUCUCCGCCACACCCAUUUUGUGUACGUGUUGAUGCUUCACCGCCCAACAUUCUGUGCCAUACAACAUCGCUGGCCUUAUUGCCGUCCUAUAAAAUUUUCCCUUGAGCUUCAGUGACCUAUGACGGUCACACAACACGCCGGAUGCACUCUUACACUUCAUCCAUCCAGCUUGUAUUCUAUAGUUGAGAUAUCCAUCUAAUUCUCCGUUCUCUUGCACGAUAGAUCCUAGGUAGCGAAAACGGUCGCUUUUUGUGAUCUUCGCUAGAUUGCUCCGGUCAUUAGUGUGGAUAAGUAUAUAAAUGGAUAGAGACAGGAAAGCAAACACAAGAUGUACGUGGUUCACCCAGAUUGGCUACGUCCACGGAAUAGAGAAGUUCUCAUUAAUUGUGAAGGGUUUACACAAGUACAUAGGUUCAAGCUCUCCUUUAGUGAGUACAAGUGAAUGAUUUAGUACAAAUGACAUUAGGAAAUAUUGUGGGAGAAUGAUCUCGUAAUCACGAAACUUCUAAGUAUCGGAGUGCGGUAUCGUCUUGACUUGCCUUAUCUGUCUCAUAGGUAGAUGUGGCAUCUUCUUUGGAAGUACUCUUCCUCCAUUAGGGGUGGUAUCUUUAACUGGUGGAGAUGCACAAGGUAAUGUAUCAAUUUCACUUGAAGCUUACUUGUAGUUUCAGGCUUGGUCAAGCGCGAUACAAACCAUGUAGUAGGAGUCCCCCAAGUCGCCGAGCUAGAGGAUCUGCUGAAAGAGGUGACAGACAAGGUAAGCAAUCAGAGCUCCGGCUGAUUGUUCACAUUCUCCCUAUCUUGCAGGCAGCAUGAAGGAUAAAGAGAAGAACAUGAGAAGAGAUGAUAUGGGAUACUUUUGCUUUUGAAGAAGUAACUUUCCACAGGCUUAUUCUUGAACUGAGCUGGAGGGUUUUCUGGUUUCCUCCAGAGUAUAAGGCCGACUGAAGAAUUUGAGGGUCAAAACAAGUCCAUCAAAUCUAGAGUACGUUCGACCCUGCUGAUAUGGGAUACUUUUGCUUUGACAGAGUAAUGGAUGUAUCGGCACGUGUGCUGUUUCGCUUGUCUCCACAUGCUUCCUUGUAUCCUUCUCCCUUGCCCUAUCUGUUCCUCAGGCAGAGAUGCGGUAUCUUCCCUGGAAGCAUAAGAUGUUGAAGAUGAGUACUUGAGAGCAAUGGCAGGUAAGUAAUCAGGUAAGGGGUUCCAGGCAGUCAGUUCCUGGCUGGAAGCUUGAUUCCAAGUGCUGACUGAUUGCUCUCUUUCUCCUUGUCUUGCAGAUAAGAACAAGGCCAAAGGAAAAGACAGGGAAAAAAGCAUGAUAUGGAGAUACUCUUGCUUUUAACCCUGAUGAUAUGAGAUAUUCUUGCUCUAGUAUAGCUUGUUUGCAGAGGAUAUUAUCGGGGGGAAAGAAAGCUGAAUAUUUCGAAAGGCUUCGUUGGGAGUGCCCUCUCAGAUAUGAGGAAGGGUUGAGCAUUUUUGCAGGUCUGCCUGUCCGUUGGGAAUGGAGGUCGACAUAUAUAGGAAUCUCCUUAACAACAAGUAGUAAUGCUAUUCCUUUACCCUACUUGGUCAUAGCACGGUAGUGGGAGCUGCCAGCUUCACAUGUUUUAACUCUGUCAGAGCACUUUGAAAAAGUGGUCUGUGGUAUCUGGAAAUGUGAUGUUGCGUGUGAAGAUUACAGACAGCUUUAUCCAAGGAGAUCCGGCUCUUGAAGUUGGGAAAGUGUUGCCUCUUCGGUUUUCGAACAAGCAAUCCUAUCGGGGAUCUGGCUCUCGAGAUUCGGAGAACGAUGCCUCUUCGAUUUUUGAGAAAGCAAUCAUGCUGGGGGUCUGGCUCUCGAGAUUUGGAGAGCGGUGUCUCUUCGAUUUUUGAGAAAGUAAUCAUGUUGGGAGUCUGGCUCUCGAGAUUCGGAGGGCGGUGCCUCUUCGAUUUUGGAGCAAGCAAACUUGUUGGGAGUGUUUUCUCGAAUGUGAGUAAAGGUUGGGCAUGUUUGCUAGUCUACCUUGCCACGAAGCACAGAGGUUGACACAUAGGGACUUUCCAAUUAUCCAGCAAUGGUACUGUUCCUUUACCCUCUCUUCGAUUUUUGAGAAAGUAGUCAUGUUGGGAGUCUGGCUCUCGAGAUUCGGAAGGACGGUGCCUCUUCGAUUUUGGAGCAAGCAAUCUUGUUGGGAGUGUUUUCUCGAAUGUGAGUAAAGGUUGGGCAUGUUUGCUAGUCUACCUUGCCACGAAGCACAGAGGUUGACACACAGGGACUUUCCAAUUAUCCAGCAGUGGUACUGUUCCUUUACCCUUGUGGGUAAUAAUAUGGUAGCUAGACCUUCAAAAUUUAUGUGUCUAAACUUUGUUAGUGCUGUUUCUUUGCUAUUGUUUUUACCCUUCUUGGUCAGAGCGAUGUAGUGGGAGCUGCAAGCUUCACGUGCUCAACUUUGGCAGAGAACUUUGGCAAAGUUAUCUGUGGUACCCAUGAGCUACUGUUGCGUGUGGGAAGUGGGUGAUUGAACAGUAAGAUUCAUGUGCUUUCUACUUCACCAGAAGUCUUCGACAGAAUGCCCAUAAUUUCCGCAAAGCUGAGUGUGCGUGUGACAGGUGCUGACAAGGCUGGAAAAGUAGGUGCCUCUUCGAUUUCUGAGAUCGGCCCUCGUGGUCUCUGAGCAGCCCAGCUUUUGAGAAAGCAAGCGCCUCUUCGAUUUCUGAGAUCGGCCUUCGUGGUCUUUGAGCAACCCAGCUUUUGAGAAAGCAAACGCCUCUUCGAUUUCUGAGAUCGACCCUCGUGGUCUCUGAGCAGCCCAGCUUUUGAGAAAGCAAACGCCUCUUCGAUUUCUGAGCAGGCGCCUUCUUCGAUUUCUGAAGCUCCGUCGAGUGCAGAUUUUUAUAGGGGCUGGCAUUAAGUUCCAAAGCACACUUGAAUCUCCACCAGUAGAAGCUCCAUUCUUGCACUUCUAAGAUCUUGAUUUGUCCGACCUCUUCUCUCUUCAACACCUUUGAAAAUGUCUGGCCCCUCCGACCGUCGUUUUUGACUUGAACCUUGUUGAAGAGGCAGCCACGCCUUCUCCAGACAACAUAUGGCGCCCAUCAUUCGUCUCCCCUACUGGUCCUCUUACCGUUGGGGAUUCCGUGAUGAAGAAUGAUAUGACCGCUGCGGUGGUGGCCAGGAACCUUCUCACUCCCAAAGAUAACAGACUACUUUCCAAACGGUCUGAUGAGUUAGCUGUUAAGGAUUCUCUGGCUCUCAGUGUUCAGUGUGCAGGUUCUGUGUGUCUAAUAUGGCCCAACGCCUAUUUGCUCGAACCCGCCAAGUUGAAUCAUUGGCGGCUGAAGUGAUGAGUCUCAAACAGGAGAUUAGAGGGCUCAAGCAUGAGAAUAAACAGUUGCACCGGCUCGCACAUGACUAUGCUACAAACAUGAAGAGGAAGCUUGACCAGAUGAAGGAAUCUGAUGGUCAGGUUUUACUUGAUCAUCAGAGAUUUGUGGGUUUGUUCCAAAGGCAUUUAUUGCCUUCGUCUUCUGGGGCUGUACCGCGUAAUGAAGCUCCAAAUGAUCAACCUCUGAUGCCUCCUCCUUCUAGGGUUCUGUCCAGUACUGAGGCUCCGAAUGAUCCCCCUCCGGUGCCUUCUCUUUCUGGGGCUCUACCGACUGCUGAGACUUCUCCUAAGCAACCUUUGUGAAGGCUCCCUCUUGUUUGUUUAUUUUGACUCAUGUAUAUGUACAUAUUUGUAGCUUAUCGGGGAUAUCAAUAAAUAAGCUUUCCUUCAUUUCAACGUAUUGUGUUAAAUACACCAAAGCCUUCUUCGCUAAGUUCUUUGAAUUUUCUUUUGUUGAAGCUUUGUGAGUGGAGCAUGUAGGUUGAGGUAGUGUUCCCUUAAUUUUCCGAGUGAGGAAAACUUCUCGGUUGGAGACUUGGAAAAUCCAAGUCACUGAGUGGGAUCGGCUAUAUGAAUCUUAGAACGCCAUUGUGCUCGGUCCUGUGUCAUGUCCUUCGUUAGAUCCAAGUACUCUAAGUCUUUUCUUAGAGUCUCUUCCAAAGUUUUCCUAGGUCUUCCUCUACCCCUUCGGCCCUGAACCUCUGUCCCAUAGUCGCAUCUUCUAAUCGGAGCGUCAGUAGGCCUUCUUUGCACAUGUCCAAACCACCGUAACCGAUUUUCUCUCAUCUUUCCUUCAAUUUCGGCUACUCCUACUUUACCCCGGAUAUCCUCAUUCCUAAUCUUAUCCUUUCUCGUGUGCCCACACAUCCAACGAAGCAUCCUCAUCUCCGCUACACCCAUUUUUGUGUACGUGUUGAUGCUUCACCGCCCAACAUUCUGUGCCAUACAGCAUCGCCGGCCUUAUUGCCGUCCUAUAAAAUUUUCCCUUGAGCUUCAGUGGCAUACGGCGGUCACACAACACGCCGGAUGCACUCUUCCACUUCAUCCAUCCAGCUUGUAUUCUAUGGUUGAGAUCUCCAUCUAAUUCUCCGUUCUUUUGCAAGAUAGAUCCUAGGUAACGAAAACGGUCGCUCUUUGGUAUUUCUUGAUCUCCGAUCCUCACCCCUAACUCGUUUUGGCCUCCAUUUGCACUGAACUUGCACUCCAUAUAUUCUGUCUUUGAUCGGCUUAGGCGAAGACCUUUAGAUUCCAACACUUCUCUCCAAAGGUUAAGCUUUGCAUUUACCCCUUCCUGAGUUUCAUCUAUCAACACUAUAUCGUCUGCGAAAAGCAUACACCAAGGAAUAUCAUCUUGAAUAUGUCCUGUUAACUCAUCCAUUACCAACGCAAAAAGGUAAGGACUUAAGGAUGAGCCUUGAUGUAAUCCUACAGUUAUGGGAAAGCUUUCGGUUUGUCCUUCAUGAGUUCUUACGGCAGUCUUUGCUCCUUCAUACAUAUCCUUUAUAGCUUGGAUAUAUAUGCUACUCGUACUCCUUUCUUCUCUAAAAUCCUCCAAGAAUGUCUCUUGGGACCCUAUCAUACGCUUUUUCCAAAUCUAUAAAGACCAUGUGUAAAUCCUUUUUCCCAUCUCUAUAUAUCUUUCCAUCAAUCUUCGUAAGAGAUAGAUUGCCUCCAUGGUUGAGCGCCCUGGCAUGAACCCGAAUUGGUUGUCCGAAACCCGUGUCUCUUGCCUCAAUCUAUGCUCAAUGACUCUCUCCCAGAGCUUCAUUGUAUGACUCAUUAGCUUAAUACCCCUAUAGUUCAUGCAAUUUUGUACGUCGCCCUUAUUCUUGUAGAUAGGCACCAAAGUGCUCGUUCGCCACUCAUUUGGCAUCUUCUUCGUUUUCAAAAUCCUAUUGAAAAGGUCAGUGAGCCAUGUUAUACCUGUCUCUCCCAAAACUUUCCACACUUCGAUUGGUAUAUAUCGUCUGGGCCUAUUGCUUUUCUAUGCUUCAUCUUCUUCAAAGCUACAACCACUUCUUCCUUCCGGAUUCGACGAUAAAAAGAGUAGUUUCUACACUCUUCUGAGUUACUCAACUCCCCUAAAGAAGCACUCCUUUCAUGUCCUUCAUUGAAAAGAUUAUGAAAAUAACCUCUCCAUCUGUCUUUAACCGCGUUCUCUGUAGCAAGAACCUUUCCAUCCUCAUCCUUGAUGCACCUCACUUGGUUUAGGUCCCUUGUCUUCUUUUCCCUUGCUCUAGCUAGUUUAUAGAUAUCCAACUCUCCUUCUUUGGUAUCUAGUCGUUUAUACAUAUCGUCGUAAGCCGCUAACUUAGCUUCUCUCACAGCUUUCUUCGCCUCUUGCUUCGCUUUUCUAUACCUUUCACCAUUUUCAUCGGUCCUAUCCUUGUAUAAGGCUUUACAACAUUCCUUCUUAGCCUUCACCUUUGUUUGUACCUCCUCAUUCCACCACCAAGAUUCCUUUUGGUGUGGGGCAAAGCCCUUGGACUCUCCUAAUACCUCUUUUGCUACUUUUCGGAAUACAACUAGCCAUGGAAUCCCACAUUUGGCUAGCUUCCCCCUCUCUAUCCCACACACACUGGGUGAUUACUUUCUCUUUGAAAAUGGACUUGUUUUUUUCUUCUUUUAGAUUCCACCAUCUAGUCCUUGGGCACUUCCAAGUCUUGUUCUUUUGUCUCACUCUUUUGAUAUGUACAUCCAUCACCAACAAGCGAUGUUGAUUAGCCACGCUCUCUCCUGGUAUAUAACUUUGCAAUCCUUACAAGUUAUACGAUCCCCUUUCCUCAUUAGAAGAAAAUCUAUUUGUGUUUUUGACGACCCACUCUUGUAGGUGAUCACAUGUUCUUCUCUCUUCUUAAAGAAGGUGUUGGCUAAGAAAGAGAUCAUAUGCCAUUGCAAAAUCCAAGAUAGCUUCCCCAUCCUCGUUUCUCUCCCCAAAACCAUGGCCACCAUGAAAACCUCCAUAGUUGCCUGUCUCCCUGCCCACGUGUCCAUUUAAAUCUCCUCCUAUAAAUAACUUCUCCGUCUGAGCAAUUCCUUGCACCAAGUCUCCAAGGUCUUCCCAAAAUUUCUCCUUCGAACUCGUAUCCAACCCUACUUGAGGUGCGUACGCACUAAUCACAUUGAUAAGUUCUUGUCCUAUUACAAUCUUGAUUGCCAUGAUUCUAUCUCCUACCCUCUUGACAUCUACAACAUCUUGUGUCAAGGUCUUGUCCACGAUGAUGCCAACACCGUUUCUCGUUCUAUUUGUGCCCGAAUACCAAAGUUUAAACCCUGAGUUUUCUAGAUCCUUUGCCUUACUACCAACCCACUUAGUUUCUUGUAGGCACAUAAUAUUUAUCCUUCUCCUCACCAUAACUUCCACUACUUCCAUAGAUUUUCCCGUUAAGGUUCCUAUAUUCCACGUUCCUAAACGCAUUUUGCUCUCUUGAACUCUACCCUUCUGUCCUAACUUCUUCACCCUCCCCCGUUUAAUAAGAUCAAAGUACUUCUUUUGUGUGUCCCGUGUAAAGUUGAUAGGAGCAUAUGCUCCCAAACAACUUUGAGUGGAGUCGUUCGAAAAGAAGUUUCUAUGGCCCCCUUGCUCAUUUAACACUGCAUCCGGGUGCCGAUGGAGAUACAGUGACCCUUGCUCACUUAUCACUGUGCUCGGGCCACACAGCGCGCCACUUACGGGUGACGCCCUAGCUUUAGCGCGAUUUUGUUCUGGAUUCAUUUUCAUAAGGAUUCGACGUGAUCAUGGAGUGCCGGCUGUCGACUACCUGACGUCCUCCCCCUCCUCCUUUAUCCGGGCUUGGGACCGGCAAUGUAACAAAGCUCAUUAAGUAAAAUUCAAAUAUUGCCUGGGCCGGCUUCAUACAAAUGGAAUUUCAACUGACUAAUUUUCGUGUGCAUUUGAUCAUUUCGAAAGAAAUUUACAGUAAAAAUUGUUUCCAUUUUCACGUGUGGUUCAAGAACUGGACUACUUUUUGUGUUAUUAUGCAUCAUAUGACAAACUGGUUCACCGUUUCUUUCUAUAGGUUUGCAUAAUAACUCCUUCUGUGCUUAUCAAUUUGCCUGUGUAGGUUGCAGAGCCUUUAAGAGCAAUGAUAGUGGGAGCGCCCUUGGAGGAUGCUUGACAUCUUGCUCAACAAUAUGCUAGAAUGCGGCAAGAAGCUGAAGCUCAGGUAUAUGCAGUUUCUUCUGUUUCCUCCCAAUUUUAUACUACAGUGAUUUUACAUGUUACGUGGUGAUCGUACAUUUCUUCGUUUAACUUUUUUUGUUUUCUUUUAAAAGUGUUUGUUCAUUUUGAGACAAUCAUGCAUUGGUAUUCAUAGAGAACGCAAAAUCUUAAGAUGUUUAAUGUAAACUUGUUAAGAUUGCUUUAUUACUUGAAGCUUUGUUGUAAUUUGGUUUUUGGUUUUUUUUUUAUUACUCCUUCAGAUUUGUCUAUAUAUACUAACUUGCACCGGGAUUCUGCAGGUAAUGCUGACAUUAUCAUGAAACUAGAAGCUGCUGAAGCCAAGCUUCAGGAGCUGCAGUCUACCGUUGCAAUAUUGGGAAAAGAAGCUAGUGCAGCUAUGGCUGCUGUUGAAGGUCAACAACAAAGAUUGACUCUUCAGCAGCUUCUUGCAAUGGUAAAGGAUUGCCUCCCCUUUUUGUUUAAGUAUGAAGACCUUGGCCUGUUCUAGUUACAAGACUGAAAAGGAAAUUAAUUUUGUAAAUUUGUCCUUUUUCAUCCCCAUUCAAGGUGGAAGCAGAGCGCAACUAUCAUCGGAACGUUCUUCAGAUACUUGAUCAGCUUGAAGGCGAGGUAUGAAAUAUCCUAAAGUCUUCCUUUCAGCAUGACAAUUUCGUAUCCCAAUUCAUUUGGCUCUAUAUUAUUCUAUUGUCUUGCUACUAAAAGCAGAGAUCAUUGACACUAUUUGUUGGGACAGAUUUUGGCAGAAAAGCAGCAAAUUGAAGCAUCGCAUAGUCCACCUACAGAGGACACUAUGCCUCCACUACCAUCGUAUGAGGAUCUCAGCCGUAGCUUUGCUUCUGAAACCUAUGAUGAAUUGACAGAGUUGAGGGACUCUUUCUUUGGAGGGGUAUCUUUAUGCUAAUGUUGUUGUAUCCAAGUUUUAGUCUGUUCGACUCUUUAGUUUCUAAUAACUGUUUCUUUUCACCUACCGCAGGUUAUGUACACCUUCCACGCUGUAACUGAUGUGGAGUUAAGUUUGUCAUUCGGGGAUUACAUUGUGGUCCGGAAGGUUCUGUCGUCUUUCCUGCUUGCAUGCUUUCAUCUUAUAUUCAUGUUCGGAUUUAUUUCUUUCGUAUUGAGGUUAAAUUUUCAUGUUCAGAGACGUCCACUCAGGUAUGUUCGUCAAUGCAUAUGCAUUAGCACACCACCGAGUGCAUUAGAAUAUGGAUUUCAGUUUUGGAUGCUUCAUGCAUUAAUGUAGUUUGUGUGGUUUUGGUUAUUGCUGCCGCUGAGCGUGAGUGGCUUUCUGUAGUUGCUGAGAGUUAUAUUGUGAGCAUAAUUCAUACAGCAGCUUUCAUAUACGGCACAUGUAGUCGGCAGCACUGCAUUUAGAAAGAGAGAGUUAUAUUUUCUUCACUGUUUAUUCAAAACUUAUAUGUUGCAUGUUCUGGCUUUUAAAGUGAGUCGGCAUCAGAGUUUUUAUUUGAGAAAAAUCAGUUUUGUGUCCAUGUGUUUUCAAAGAAAAUAUUUUAGUUUUUAAUCACUGAUUUUUCAUUGUGCUUCAAUUAGAAAUUAAUUAUGAGAAUCUGCCUUGUGAUUUUCGUAAUUGGUUGAUUCAAAAAAUCUUUACAUUUCAUACAUUUUGCAUGAUCUCGUUAGUAUCUUGCAAAGUUCAAUGACACAGUGAUUGACGGUCGCGUUAGUGUCGUGCCACUUUCACUUGAAAGCUGAAGAGAGAUCGAGUAGCAAAGCGCAAUGAAAAAAAUUGCAUACUAGUAUGUGGGCAGUGGCGGAUCCAGGAUUUUAAACUCGGGGGGUCCCAAUAAUAAAUUUCAAAAAAAUUAUAGACAAAAAUAACAUUAAAAAGUUAAAUAUAAUACAUUUCAUUCAAAAUCAUACGCAAAACAACAUUACAAGCUAUAAAAUCACAAAACAACAAAUCGUCGUUUUUUCUUUGCAUGCAAAGUGUAUGGGAACUCAUGCUUUGUAGGCCUACAAGGUCCCAUUUGCAAAUAUGUUCUUUGAACCUCAUCUUGAAUAUUAGAAGAAUAGUCCUUCAUUCGAAUUCUUUUUCUUGGGUCUCUCUCAAGAUUAUUAAAAUCAACGUCACACUCAUUUUGUCUUGAGCUCGAACUACCAGAACAAAUAAAUGGUGCUAUUGGCUUUGGAAGGAAAAAUCUUUCCAUAUUUCUUAUUUGUAAACUACAUAUUUAAGCAAAAACAGAAAACAUAUACCGAUUAACCAAUAAACAAAAAUUCCAUCUAAAUUCCAAUGAUAAAAUGAGUAUACAAACAUAAAACAUAUCAACAAUCAUAUCAAUAAUAGACUAAAAAUCUCCAUCAAUAUCUAAUAUAAUUUAAUUGAGAUUAGAUUAGAAUUCUAAAAAACUUAAUUGAAUUUUGAACCAAAUAGUGGUGGAGUGGAGAAUUAAAACAAGUGGAUGUAUGAUAUUGGACUUACGUAAUUAUAAUAUGGGAUUGGGUCAUGGGUGAGAUUAGAAAUUUAGGGUUUUGAAAUGGGGGGAAAGAGGGAACCAAAUAAUAGGGAAUUGGGGGAAAAGCAGCAGGGAAAGAGAGAACUUUGGGGAAGGGCUCAGGGGGGCUGGGCUUUAAAAUUAAAGCAAUAUUGAGUCAUCAUGCAUGGCAAACGACAACGUUUGUCUACCUUUUUGUUUUUUUAUACUUAAAACAAUGGGCCAAAACACAGCCGUUUUGGACCAAUUGGUAAAAACCCCUAUUUUCUUUCUUCUUCCCGCAGCGUCUUCUUCUUCACUGCUACCUGCAACUGCAACCUGCAACCUGCACAGCAGCUCAAACCUUGUGUUCGAGGGGUCCCCCGGAAAUUUUCUAACAGGGAUUUAGGGUCGCCGAAGGGUCCUAGGACCUCCCAGGUCCCUCUGUAGAUCCGCCACUGUAUGUGGGUCUAGUUAAUGAGUUUUGUAAGUCUUUCUAUACUCAUUUCUCUUAUUAUUUGUCAUGACUUAAGAGUCUGAGGAUUUUCUCAGUGGUGAGUUUUACCUUGUUAAAUCCUACAUCAUAUGUACACAUGUUAUUUGUCUUUUUAUUGCAAAUGUGUAGGAUAAUCUUUCACUUAUUUUCUUAUAGUGAACUCUAUCUUAGACAUUCAUCAACAUAUAGAGUUUACGACAGAGGACUUUUGCUACUAUUAUUCAGUGCAUUGAUUAAUUUGUAAAGCGCUCAUUUAUCCUAAUUAUAAAAUAUAAUGUGUACAAGACAUUAAAAAAAUGGAAGUGUCUUUCAACAGUUUGAAUGUCAUGUAUGGCCAUAUCCUUUAUUUCCACCAUUCUUAUCAACCGAAUGCGGAGAGAUUGUCUUUAUCUCACAAACCCAUAAUGUGGCAAUCGUCCAUUAGAAAGGUAACGUACGUUUUGAAAAUCGUGGCAAAUAUUGAAUGAGUAAUGAUGCCUCUAAAAAUAAAGUAACGAAUAAUCAACAGAAGUAGCAGUACAUCAAGUUGGAUCUUUUUCAAUGUUGAAAUGAAAUAUGAAAGUAGAUCAAGUUGCUAUUAUUCAUCCUUUUUUUUUUUUUAAAUAAACAAUAUUGUUUACAUUAAGAAGAGGAAGAAGUUAGCUAAGUCUUACAAUACGCUAGCAAUAAUAUGGUUAAAAUUCGCAUUUGGUAAUAAUCAAACCUAAGACUUCUCACGUACAAGUGAAGAAAAAUUUCAUUAGACCGUAACAUUAUUCAUCCACUUUUACAUAAUGAAUAAUCAAGAAAAACAUUGCACGGGUCCCCCUUACCACUAGUGGCCAUCACUUCCCUGAGCAAAAGAGAUCUUUCAAAUGGAGGAGGAUUCUUUACCUUCCUAUUUCCAUUCUCUUCCAUUUUCUCAUCUCACACAUUACUUUUUAUCUUAUUAUCUCUAUAAAUAAAUCAAUAUAAAAUGUUGACACACAUUACUUUUUAUCUUAUUAUCUCUAUAAAUAAAUCAAUAUAAAAUGUUGACGUGGUUUAACUGUGACUGUUCCAAUAGAAGGAGAUGGAAAAGUAGAGAUAUUAGGAGGGUAGAGAAUCCUACUUCUUUUCCAAUUGCUUGAUCAAAACAAGCAUUGACUUGGCCGUCCAUUCAUCGAUAACAGGUCCACAUCUCAAUCCAAAUAUAAUGACGUCAAAGGAGAGGGGAAAAUGAGAAGGAAACUUUGGAGGGUAGAGGGAAGGAAAAGGAGAAAGGGAGAAAGGGAGAAAGUAGAAGGGAAAAGUAGAAAGAGAAGAAGGAAAAUGAGAGGAAAUUUCGGAGAAUAGAGAAAAUGAGAAGGAAACUUUGGAGGGUAGAGGGAAGGAAAAGUAGAAAGAGAAGAAGGAAAAUGAGAGGAAAUUACAAGUGCCACAUUAUUAUGCGGUUCUAUCAAGUUUUAAUUUUUGUCUCAUAACCACAUCAUUUUUAGGAAAAUCAAUAUUGGAGUUGAAUAUAUAAACCUUCGAUAUGGUGAUAUUGGAAACAAUAGUUGGUGGGUUGAUUGGUAGAAAUGGUUCCAACAAUUCAAGGACGAGAAAUGAGCAUUGAGCAACGAUCAAAAUAUGUUGUAUUUUAUUACAAAAGAUCUUUGUGCAAUUAAAAAUGCAUUUUAUCACAAAAACAUGAGCAACGAUCAAUAUAAUUGUUAUUUAUAAAAUCACACAUAAAACAAGAAGUAAUCUUUUCUUUUUCUUUUCAUCCCUGCCACUAGCGGCCGACCAUGACUUAAUUAAAGAAACGCUUUUUGGGUUAAUGGAUGGGAACGACCCAUUUUAUAAUUGUUUGUAAAUUUUUCUGGAAGUAGAUGUAAAUGACCCAAUUACAUAUUUCCCCUGCUCACAGACGUUUGCAUUGCACCUAGCAAACACCAGUUUUUUUGUUUAAGCAUCGAUCCACAUCAAUGGCUCUUGUGAGAACAUCUCCAGGAACCUCAUCUGAUUCCAACAAUUUUCGGGGUUAUCGCUACGACGUGUUCUUAAGCUUCAGAGGCGAAGACACUCGCAAGACUUUUACCGACCACCUCUACACAGCCUUGAACAACGCAGGAUUUCUUACGUUCCGAGACGACGAUGAACUUGAGAGAGGAGAAGAUAUAAAGCCAGAACUGCAGAAAGCGAUACAGCAGUCACGAACUUCUGUUGUCGUGUUUUCGAAAGAUUACGCGUCAUCCAGGUGGUGUCUUGAUGAGCUUGUGCUGAUCCUUGAACGCAAGAGGACCACCUCGGACCAUGUAGUUUUACCAGUCUUCUACGAUGUCGAUCCGUCCCACGUGAGGAAGCAGACAGGAAGUGUUGGAAAAGCAUUUGCUAGAAGCCAGAAAAAUCAGUCGUCGGAAAAGGUGGAGGGAUGGAGGAAGGCACUUGCAGAGAUUGCAGACCUAGCAGGCAUGGUCUUAAAAAAUCAAGCUGAUGGGUAACUUUCAUUAUCUCCAUUUCUCUUCUCUUUGUUGGGUCAAUUUGAUGUAUGAUCCGUAGUGACAUAGAUUUUUAUAUAUUUAUUAAUUCAAUCUCAGUAGUGAAUAAUAAUCCCAAUUUAGGUCAACUUAAAGAAAGCACACUCAACUCAACUUAAGGAUUAGUCAUUUUCCAUGUUAAUCUACUGGUUUCCAGGUGCUUAAAUUUUGUUUGAAAGCUGGUGUGGAAAAAAGUUAGGAUGUGAUCUGUUUUGUAUUUGUCUAUAGUUUGUAUAAAUUAUGCGCUGUAUUCUUUUUUUUUUUCAAUUUAAUUUUGUCAGGCAAUCAACAUAUGUUUUAAUUAUCUAAUUUCCCCAAUUCAUUUUUCAUUUUGUUUGCAAAUUCUUAGGUACGAGGCAAAGUUUAUCGAAAAAAUUGUUAAAGUGAUAGAAGACAAGUUAAGUCGUAUGCCAUUGAGUGUUGAACCAAAAUUGAUUGGUAUUCAAUAUCAAGCCGAACGCAUCAAUUUGUGGUUACAAGAUGGAUCAAGUGGUGUUGGUAUAUUUGUUGUGUAUGGCAUGUCUGGAAUCGGGAAGACAACCAUUGCAAAACAUGUUUACAAUUCAAACUUUAGAAGCUUUCAAGGAAGUAGUUUCAUUGAAAAUAUCAAAGAAACAGCAGAUCGACCAAAUGGCUUAGUUCAAAUACAAAUGCAACUUCUUUGUGAUAUUUUGAACGGCAGAGAAGUGAAAAUACACAGUGUUAGUGAGGGAAUAAUUAAGAUUGAAAAGGCCAUAAGCUCUAAAAGAGUUCUACUUGUUCUUGAUGAUGUUGACCAUAUGGACCAAUUAGAUGCAAUCCUAAGGAUGAAAGAUCAGUUUUAUCCUGGAAGUAAGAUACUAAUAACAACUAGGCGUGAAAGGUUGUUAAAGGCUGAUCAAGUUACAGAGGUGCACAGAGUUCAAACUUUGGAUGACAAUGAAUCAUUAAAGCUUUUCAGUUGGCAUGCUUUUGGCCAGGACCAUCCCAUAGAAGAAUACAUGGAGCACUCAAAACAGAUAGUGCAACAUAGUGGCGGACUUCCAUUAGCUCUAAAAGUUUUGGGUUCUUCUUUAUCAGGAGGAAGUAUAGGUGUAUGGGAAAGUGCAUUGGAGAAGCUAAAAGUUAUUCCUGAUGGUGAAAUCAUGAGUAAACUAAGAAUAAGCUAUGAAAGUUUAAAAGAUGACCAUGACCGGAAAUUAUUCCUCCACAUUGCUUGUUUCCUAAUAGGAAGGAACAAAAGCUACAUUGUUAGAAUAUUCGAUGGAUGUGAUUUCUAUACAAUCAUUGGCAUUCAAAAUCUCAUUGAUAGAUGCUUGGUGACACUUGAUGAAUACGGCAAGGUGGAAAUGCAUGACAUGAUUCGUGCUAUGGGAAGAGAAAUUGUUCGCCAAGAAUCAGAAGAGCCUGAGAAACGUAGUAGAUUAUGGCACCAUAAGGAUUCUUUCCAAGUAUUGAGGAAAAAGAAUGUAAGAAACAUGCCUUUUAUGUCUAUAUAUGUAUUUCUUCUUGUGAAAAUUACGCAUAUUAAUGUCUCUUUUUUUUCCUUUAGGGUACAAAAAAAAUCCAAGGUCUUGUCCUGGAUAUGCGUAACCAUCCAGCAAACAGUCCAAUAAACACAAAUGAGAUAGUCUUGGAAACCAAUGCAUUUGCAAGGAUGUGCAAUUUACAACUACUCCAUCUUAGUCAUGUACGACUGGAUGGAUGUUAUGCAGAUUUCCCUACAGGAUUAAGAUGGUUGUGUUGGCUUGAAUUUCCUUUGGAUUCUAUACCAAUUGAUUUUCCUUUGGAGAACGUAAUUGUUCUUGAAAUGCAAUACAGUAGCUUGAGACAAGUAUGCAAAGGAACAAAAGUAUGUUACUCUAUGCAUUUCAAUUCAUUUUCCUUAUUUUGUUAGUUUUUUAUUUGUUGACCAACUCCAUGUGUUAAAAUGAACUACUAUGUUUUCUUUAAUUCGAUGACUAAUUUCUUAUGUUAGAUACUUAUUUCAUUGUUCUUUUUUCUUUUCUUUUUUUCCCUCUGUUUCCACAGUUUCUUCCAUCGUUGAAGAUCCUUGACGUCAGCCAUUCUCAUGGUCUUAGUGAAACCAUUGACUUCUCACGUUCCUCCAAUCUAGAGGAACUAAUUCUUGUAGAUUGCACAAGCCUGGAGAAUGUUCAUGAAUCCAUUGGAAACCUGGAGAGACUCGUGUACUUGAAUAUGAAGGAUUGCAAGAAUCUUAGGAAGCUUCCGAAGAACAUGUGCAAGCUUAAAUCACUUGAAAUACUCAUUUUAUCUGGUUGCUCAAAUCUUGAUGAGGUUCCAGUGGAGAUGAUGAAGAAGAUGGAGUCUCUGAAAGUUCUUGAGACGGAUGGAAUUCCAAUAGGUGAAUUGUGGCCAGAAAGAAGUUCAACUAUCUUGAGUUCUUUUCCGUGCUCUUUGGUAGAGUUAAGUCUGAAGGGGUGCAAUCUUUCUGAUGAUGUCUUUUCUACGGAUUUAAGUGCUCUAUCCUACUUGCGAAGACUACAUUUGGAUGAGAAUCCAAUUUGCAGUCUGCCAGUUUUCAUCAAAGGUUUGAGGAGGAUCGAUGAACUCUCUUUCAAGGGUUGUGAUAGGCUCGAAUCGCUUGUGGGGUUGCCGGAAGUACACCAAAGGCUAAGUAUAAAAGAAUGCAUAUCAUUAAAAAAAAUAACUUUUCAUUCCCCUGGGCAACAUUAUCUAACACGUGUAUUUUGCCAUGACAACCCGAAUCUUGUUGAGUGUGAGUGCUAUUACAAGUUAGAGCCUAUUGAUAGAGUUGAUGUGGAAAUGAUCAAACUUUUGGGCUUGUGCAACUUGGAAUCCAUGCCAGCUGUUCGAAUGCAUCAUCCACUCACAAACUGGGAUCUAAUAGAGGUCCCCGUCCAGGUGCGCCUCUUUUUCUCUCUCUCUCAUAAGUCUUAAAUAUAUAAUGGGAAAGAAAUGACUGAGUAAUGUUGUGAUGACUGUGGCAAAUACAUAGGGACUGUAUCAACAUGGUAUAUUCAGCACCUUUUUUGUUGGGAAUGAGGUUCCAGGCCUGUUCAGCUAUAAAAGUACCAAGUCCUCGAUAUCUUUUAUUGUCCCUUUACUACUUGCUAGUCACAGAAUUCGAGGCUUGAACAUCUUUGCUACCUAUGCAAAGGAAAAUUCAAAUAAUUAUUCUACUAGACCUAAUAUUGGUCCAAUAAUGAUCAAAGUGAGAAACAAGAGUAAGGGUCUGAAGUGGAUCUAUGACCCAUUUUUCUAUGGAAUCCCAAGUGACGGAGAAGAUAUGAUAUGGUUGAGCCAUUGGAAGAUGGAGAAUAAAACAAUAUUACAAUGUGGAGAUGAAGUGGUGGUUUCGGUAAUAACUGGACCACGUGACAUGUUUUGGGUCAAGGAGUUUGGUGUCGAGCUUGUGCAAGAGCACCAAGACAAGAUGAGUACCCAACACAACACCAAAUCUGAUCCUAAUUAUCCAUUUGUUAUUGAUGGAGAUUUGAAGAUGUUUGAGGACAGACCGGGAAAAUACUUCCUUGGCAGUUAUUUUAUAGAAGAAAUUGAUGACAUUGAUAUCCUCACCAUGGACUCUGAUGAAGAAGACACAAGUAUGUUGUGUUGUUGUAUUGCAUUGAAUUAUACUUCAUCCAAACACUUCCAGGUGUGUCCGUAUUCAUUUCAAAAACGUUUCCAAUAAAUUUUAUGUUAUUUGUAUGUUUUUCAGACAAAGAAGGGCAAGAGGAUGAACCUGAUUACACAAUUGCAAAGACGAGGGCUGCUAGCAAUAACUGCAGCCUGAGAGGCUGGAAGGUGCGCCUCACAGCUGUCGGCUUCUUUUUCGCGCUUGCUCUAGUAGGUUGGUCCUCCAUCUCCCAAAAAAAGAAGCGACAAUCGUCCACAAGCCCACCAUGAGUUUGUAAUUUGACUUCAAAUGUGCUUGCUCUAGUAGCUAAGCACUCUUAACCGCUUGAGAUAUAAAAGCCCAUUGCAACUAGAUACUGAACUUCAAAUGUGUUCAACGCCAUCAAAUAUAGCAUAAAAUACAUCCAGCAUUAGGUUCCAAGCCCACUAUUGAAAAUCAUGUUCAUCCACUCUACACAUCCAAGGCAGCAAACUAACUAGGAUACCAGGUUGGGAGGAUACAAUCAUUAACAAUUUCAAAAGCUAUAAAUGCAAUCCGAAUACAUGGCAAGUAGGGGUAAGCAUGUGAACAAAAAAAUCAGUGAACAUAAUCAAAUCCAAUACGUCAAUUUUGGCCUAGAUUGAAAUGAAAAAAACAAGGAAAUGCUUUGUGUAUCGAUUUGUUUAUGAAGGAAAUAAAACAUAUUUCAUGGAAAGAAAACCUGUGGUUACCUUUGUCUUCCUCUGCCAUUUGUCUAUCGAUUUGUUUCUGAAAGUGGCUAUUCUACAAGAUACAACAUGACAGGUCUUAGUUAGACCAAGUAAACGGCAUGGAAAUGCUUUCUGAAGCAAGAAUGUGUACUCAAGAGCUUUGUGCCAGAGAGGUCGUCGUACCCAGUGCACAAGGCUCCCGCUUUACGCAGGGUCUGGGAGAGGUGAAUGUCGGCUAGCCUUACCCCUAUUUAUGGAGAGGACUUAAGAAAAAUGAAAAAAACAAUAUAGAAUAUGGGUAAGAAUAAAUUUCGAUUAGACAAUAAUUCACUGUAUAAAUCGUUUUUUCAACUUUAAAGUGUGGCUUAAAAAGAAGCUUUAAACAAGUAGCAAUAAUUUCAUAUUGAAAAAUAAAACCUAUUUCAUGGAUAUUACAAGAGCCAUUAUUUUGAAAAACACACCUUUUGGUUCUUCACCACUUGACUUUUAAGAAGAUCUUCGUCCUUGUGACGAUUCAAAUUCUUUAAAAUAUCUCUACGACGGAAUAAACAAAACCAAUCUAGGCCAAAAUUGACUUGUUCGAUUUGAUUAUGUUCACUGAUUUUUCUGUUCACAUGUUUACCCCUACUUGCCAUAUAGUUUUGGGGUGUUAGUGCAUAGUGCUCUUCUCUUUACACACCAGUUUCAAUUUUAUUCUUCGUAAAUUAAGAGACCGUUUGAUAAUCAUUUCGUUUUCAAUUUAAAAAAUAUAAAAAACUAAAUGAAGUUUUCAACUAGAAUUUUCGCUUUUGGUUUUCAAUUUUAAUUUUUUUUAAAACAACUGAAAACUAAAAAUAGUUGCAAAAAGAAUUUUUCAUUUUUUUUUAAUUUAUAAAAAAGUAAAAACUGAAAACUCUAAACUAUAGACUAAAAAUUAAAAAGUGAAAUCGAAAUGGGCUCUCAACAAAAUUGAAAAAAGACUGGGCUGAAUUACUGAAUUCAAAGCAGGGCUUAUUAACGUUACGAGGCCCAAUGGAUCUGGAUAAAUAUUUUUCAUUUUUUUUUAACAAACGAUAUUAUUUAUAUAGGCUUAAUUUUACAGUGGGCUAACAAUAAUGUGGUUCAAAUUUGCUUUUCGCAAGAAUAGAACCUAAAACUUCUCACUUAUAAAUGAAGAGGAAUACCACUAAACCGUAGUCCUGAUAGAUUCGUUAUUUUAUUUUAUAUUUUAAGAAAAAAGAAAGAAAGCAAUGAAAAGCUGUACAUAAAAUAAAUACAAAAAGGAAUGAAAUGAAGAAGAGUGGGAGACUAAUGUUUAAUUCAAGAUAAAGAAAGAAAGCUGAUCGCACCACGACGGCGGCGACGUGGCGGUCAUUUAACGGAAAAUAACAGACAAAUCAGCCUCCAGAUCAAAUCUUGAAGCACAACUCUGAAAAAUCGAGACUACCAACAGCUGAGCUCCGACCAACCGUUGAUGGAUGCAAUCAGGAAGCUCAGAGAUCAGGUCGCCAAGCAACAGCAGGUACUCCCUCUCGUUUGAUUCCGAAUUUGUAUUUCUGUAUGGAUUUUGAUAUGAACAUAAUCUGCGUUGAUUGCGAGAUACUGAGAUUGCUUAAUGAAAUAAUAUUUAUAUAAUUGUUCGAGUUGAAUUGGAUCGAUUCGAAUUCAAAUAGAAUGUCACUAUUUCUGAGCUGUUUGGGGAUGUGUUGGAGUGCAAUGUUGAUGAAUUUCUGAAAUUUUGAGCUAGGUGUUGCUAAUUACUUAUCGAUUUUUGAUGUAAUUGGAUGCUUAAUUUUUACAUUUUCGGAAAACUUCAAACGAAAAUGGCAUAUAAUUCAACGUUCUAUGCUUCAUUAAUGCAUAAGAGUUGGUCGAAGCUUGAUCGAGUUUGCUUUUGGUUAUUUUGUGAACACCGUCAGGCUGUGUUCAAACAAUUUUCUGGUGGCAUAUAUGGGGGAUCGGAUAAUGUUGCCUCGGAUGAAAAUGAAUUUCAACAGCAUCAGAAACUCGAGAAGCUGUACAUAUCAACUCGUGCUGCCAAGGUUGCUACGCUUAUUUUUGUCUGUGCUUUAAACGAGCAUCACGUUAGUUGUGUUACCUAUCGUUUUUUUGCUUCAUCUUUAACAGCAUUACCAAAAGGAAAUUGUCCGCGGAGUGGAAGGUUACAUUGUGGCCGGUUCAAAGCACGUUGAAAUAGGUAUGUUGCUUGAAAUGCGUUGUCUUUUCUUUGGAGUUUGGAUAUGAAUUCAUGCUGGUUUUAUCAGUUGGUAUACAUAAUAUUUUUUCAACAGGUACCAAGCUAUCAGAAGAUAGCAGGAAAUAUGGUUCUGAAAAGACUUGCACCAGUGAUAACACAUUGUCGAGAGCUGCACUUAGUUUUGGAUGAGGUGGGGCCCAAAUGGAAAAAGAGUGCGGAGUUCUACUUAAAGCCCUUGGCACACAGGUUUAAGUCAAAUUAUUACUAACAGAGGCUAUUAAGUAAAAAUCAAAUAUUGCCAGGGCCGGCUUCAUACAAAUGGAAUUUCAACUGACUAAUUUUCGUGUGCAUUUGAUCAUUUCGAAAGAAAUUUACAGCAAAAAUUGUUUUCAUUUCCACGUCGUGGUUCAAGAAUUGGACUACUUUUUGUGUUUCUAUGCAUCGUAUGACAAACUGGCUCACCAUUUCUUUCUAUAGGUUUGCAUAAUAACUCUUUGUGUGCUUAUCAAUUUGCCUGUGUAGGUUGCAUAGCCUUUAUAGUGGGAGCGCCCAUGGAGGAUGCUCGACAUCUUGCUCAACGUUAUGCUAGAAUGCGGCAAGAAGCUGAAGCUCAGGUAUAUGCAGUUUCUUCUGUUUCCUACCAAUUUUAUUCUACAGUGAUUUUAUAUCCAAAACAAGCAUUGACUUGGCUGUCCAUCCAUCAAUAGCAGGUCCACAUCUCAACCCAAAUAUAAUGACGUCAAAGGAGAGGGGAAAAUGAGAAGGAAACUCUGGAGGGUAGAGGGAAGGAAAAGGGGAAAAGGAGAAAGGGAGAAGGGAAAAGUAGAACGGGAAGGAGGAAAAUGAGAGGAAAUUUCGGAGAAUAGAGAAAGGGAGAAGGGAAAAGAAGAAAAGCAGAAAAGAAGGGAAAAGGGGAAGGAAGCUUAGGAGGCUAGAGAAAAAGAUGGAAAUGCAUAAAAAUAAAAAAAUAAAAAAGGAAAGUCGCCUUCAUCAUUAUGUCUACUAACGGAAAGGAGCAACCACAUUGUAAAUUAUAUUUUGUAUAAUGAGAAACCAGUAUUCCUACCCUGAGGGUAUAGACACAACUUGCUGAAUCUCGUUACUAUACAGCAAGUUUAUAAUUGCACAAUAAUUCGAUCAAUCAUCUUAAGUUCAACCAUACAUGUAACAAGAUUUAAGUUUUUCCAAACUUUCCUUAUGAAGGUAACUGAACAUUACAAGUGUCACGUUAUUAUGCGAUUCUAUCAAGUUUUAAUUUUUGUCUCAUAACCACAUUACAAGUGCCACGUUAUUUAUUUUAUCCUUUAUUUUAUCUUUAUUAUUAAAACUUAAAAUUUUCAUAUUUUUUUAUUAAUUUUUUUUUAUAAAAUCACACGUAAAACAAGAAGUAAUCUUUUCUUUUUCUUUUCAUCUCUGCCACUAGCGGCCGACCAUGACUUAAAGAAACGCUUUUUGGAUGGGUCAAUGUAUGGGAACGACCCAUUUUAUAUGUUACAUGGUUGUGCAAUUAAAAGUGCAUUUUAUCAUAAAAAUGUGAGCAACGAUCAAUAUAAUUGUUAUUUAUAAAAUCACACAAAACACAAGAAGGAAUCUUUUCUUUUUCUUUUUCAUCUCUGCCACUACCAGCCGACCAUGACUUAAAAGAAACGCUUUUUGGUUCAAUGGAUGGGAACGACCUAUUUUAUAAUAAGAAAAAUUAAUUAAAAAAAUUUAAAAAUUUUAAGUUUUAAUAAUAAAAAGAUGUUGUAAAUAAAUAGUACAUAAUUGAUUUUUUUAGUAAAAGUAUAAUUUUUUAUUAAAAUUUCGUUCAAAUCCCCUUUAUAAUAUUGUUUGUAAAUUUUUCUGGAAGUAGAUGGAAAUGACCCAAUUACAUAUUUCCCCUGCUCACAGACAUUUUCAUUGCACCUAGAAAACCAGUUUUUUGUUAGAAAAUCGAUCCACAUCAAUGGCUCUUGUGAGAACAUCUCCAGGAACCUCCUCUGAUUCCAACACUUUUCGGAGUUAUCGCUACGACGUGUUCUUGAGCUUCAGAGGCGAAGAUACUCGCAAGACUUUUACCGACCACCUCUACACAGCCUUGAACAACGCAGGAUUUCUUACGUUCCGAGACGACGAUGAACUUGAGAGAGGAGAAGAUAUAAAGCCAGGACUGCAGAAAGCGAUCCAGCAGUCACGAACUUCUGUUGUCGUGUUUUCGAAAGAUUACGCUUCAUCCAGUUGGUGUCUUGAUGAGCUUGUGCUGAUCCUUGAACGCAAGAGGACCACCUCGGACCAUGUAGUUUUACCAGUCUUCUACGAUGUCGAUCCGUCCCACGUGAGGAAGCAGACAGGAAGUGUUGGAAAAGCAUUUGCUAGAAGCCAGAAAAAUCAGUCGCCGGAAAAGGUGCAGGGAUGGAGGAAGGCACUUGCAGAGAUUGCAGACCUAGCAGGCAUGGUCUUACAAAAUCAAGCUGAUGGGUAACUUUCAUUAUCUCCAUUUCUCAUCUUUCCUGGGUGAAUUUGAUGUAUGAUCCGUAAUGACCUAGAUUUUUAUAUGUUUAUUAAUUCAAUCUCAGUAGUGAAUAAUAAUCUCAAUUUAGGUCAACUUAAAGAAAUCACACUCAACUCAACUUAAGGAUUAGUCAUUUUCCAUGUUAAUCUACUGGUUUCCAGUUGCUUAAAUUUUUUUGAAAGCUGGUGUGGAAAAAGGUUAGGAUGUGAUCUGUCUAUAGUUCGUGUAAAUUAUGCGCUGUAUUCCUUUUUUUUUUCAAUUUAAUUUUGUCAGCAGUCCUCUUUUUUUUUUCUUAUUUAAAAAGGCAAUCAACAUAUGUUUUAAUUAUCUAAUUUCCCCAAUUCAUUUUUCAUUUUGUUUGCAAAUUCUUAGGUACGAGUCAAAGUUUAUCAAAAAAAUUGUUGAAGUGAUAGGAGACAAGUUAUGUCGUACGUCGUUGAGUGUUGAACCAAAAUUGAUUGGAAUUCAAUCUCAAGCCGAACGCAUCAAUUUGUGGUUACAAGAUGGAUCAAGUCAUGUUGGUAUAUUUGUUGUGUAUGGCAUGUCUGGAAUAGGGAAGACAACCAUUGCAAAACAUGUUUACAAUUCAAACUUUGGAAGCUUUCAAGGAAGUAGUUUCAUUGAAAAUAUCAAAGAAACAGCAGAUCGACCAAAUGGCUUAGUUCAAAUACAAAUGCAACUUCUUUGUGAUAUUUUGAACGGCAGAGAAGUGAAAAUACACAGUGUUAGUGAGGGAAUAAUUAAGAUUGAAAGGGCCAUAAGCACUAGAAGAGUUCUACUUGUUCUUGAUGAUGUUGACCAAAUGGACUAAUUCGAUGCAAUCCUAAGGAUGAAGGAUCAGUUUUAUCCUGGAAGUAAGAUACUAAUAACAACUAGGCGUGAAAGGCUGCUAAAGGCAGAUCAAGUUACAGAGGUGCACAGAGUUCAAACUUUGGAUUACAAUGAAUCAUUAAAGCUUUUCAGUUGGCAUGCUUUUGGCCAGGACCAUCCCAUAGAAGAAUACAUGGAGCACUCAAAACAGCUAGUGCAACAUAGCGACGGACUUCCAUUAGCUCUAAAAGUUUUGGGUUCUUCUUUAUCAGGGGAAAGUAUAGGUGUAUGGGAAAGUGCAUUGGAGAAGCUAAAAGUUAUUCCUGAUGGUGAAAUCAUAAACAAACUAAGAAUAAGCUAUGAAAGUUUAAAAGAUGACCAUGACCGGAAAUUAUUCCUCCACAUUGCUUGUUUCCUAAUAGGAAGGAACAAAACCUACAUUGUUAGAAUAUUCGAUGGAUGUGAUUUCUAUACAAUCAUUGGCAUUCAAAAUCUCAUUGAUAGAUGCUUGGUGACAUUUGAUGAACACGGCAAGGUGAAAAUGCAUGACAUGAUUCGUGCUAUGGGAAGAGAAAUUGUUCGCCAAGAAUCAGAAGAGCUUGAGGAACGUAGUAGAUUAUGGCGCCAUAAGGAUUCUUUCCAAGUAUUGAGGAAAAAGAAUGUAAGAAACAUGCCUUUUAUGUCUAUAUAUGUCUUUCUUCUUGUGAAAAUUAUGCAUAUUAAUGUCUUUUUUUUUUCCUUUAGGGUACAAAAAAAAUCCAAGGUCUUGUCCUGGAUAUGCGUAAUCAUUCUGCAAACAGUCCAAUAAACACAAAUGAGAUAGUCUUGGAAACCAAUGCAUUUGCAAGGAUGUGCAAUUUACAACUACUCCAUCUUAGUCAUGUACGACUGGAUGGAUGUUAUGCAGAUUUCCCUACAGGAUUAAGAUGGUUGUGUUGGCUUGAAUUUCCUUUGGAUUCUAUACCAAUUGAUUUUCCUUUGGAGAACGUAAUUGUUCUGGAAAUGCAAUACAGUAGCUUGAGACAAGUAUGCAAAGGAACAAAAGUAUGUUACUCUAUGCAUUUCAAUUCAUUUUCCUUAUUUUGUUAGUUUUUUAUUUGUUGACUAACUUCGUGUGUUAAAAUGAACUACUAUGUUUUCUUUAAUUCAAUGACUAAUUUCUUAUAUUAGAUACUUAUUUCAUUGUUAUUUUUUCUUCUUUUUUUUCCCUCUGUUUCCACAGUUUCUUCCAUCGUUGAAGAUCCUUGACGUCAGCCAUUCUCAUGGCCUUAGUGAAACCAUUGACUUCUCACUUUUCCCCAAUCUAGAGGAACUGAUUCUUGUAGAUUGCACAAGCCUGAAGAAUGUUCAUGAAUCCAUUGGAAGCUUGGAGAGACUCGUGUACUUGAAUAUAAAGGAUUGCAAGAAUCUUAGGAAGCUUCCGAAGAACAUGUGCAUGCUUAAGGCCCCGUUUGGGAUUGAGGUGAUUUUAAAAAAAGCCACUGUCAAAAAAAGCUGAGGAUCAUUUUUGUGUUUGGUAAACUGAAAAAAAAGGGCUUAUUUUGGAAGCUGCUGUGAGAAUAAGCUGAAAAUCAAAGAAAAAGCUGAAGCUGCUAUUUGCUGCUUUGAAAAAAAGCCAGUUUUUUCAAAGCACACGGAGCUACAGUGCUCCUUUAAUGAAAAGACACACUAUCAUCCUGCUUUUUUUUCCAAAAGCACUUUCACAAAAAAGUUUACCAAACACUCUACUGGCUUUAUUUCACAGCCGCUUAUUCUCACAGCACAGCUGCUUAUUCUUACAGCAGCUUUUUUUCAAAGCACAGCAAUACCAAACCAGCCCUAAAUCACUUGAACACUCAUUUUAUCUGGUUGCUCAAAUCUUGAUGAGUUUCCAAUGGAGAUGAUGAAGAUGGAGUCUCUGAAAGUUCUUGAGACAGAUGGACUUCCAAUAGGUAAAUUGUGGCCAGAAAGAAGUUCAACUAUCUUGAGUUCUUUUCCAUGCUCUUUAGUAGAGUUAAGUCUGAAGGGGUGCAAUCUUUCUGAUGAUGUCCUUCCUACGGAUUUAAGUAAUCUAUCCAAUUUGCAGUCUGCCAGUUUUCAUCAAAGGUUUGAGGAAGAUCGAUGAACUCUCUUUCAAGGGUUGUGAUAGGCUCGAAUCGCUUGUGGGGUUGCCGGAAGUACACCAAUGGCUAAGUAUAGCCGGAUGCAUAUCAUUAAAAAAAAUAACUUUUCAUUCCCCUGAGCAACCGUAUCUAGUACGUGGGGGUGACAACUCGAAUAACUGUAAUUGCUGUUACAAGUUACAGCCUUUUGAUAGAGUUGAUGUGAAAAUGAUCAAACUUAUGGGCUUGUGCAACUUUGAAUCCAUGCCAGCUGUUCAAAUGCGUAAUUCAUACACAUACAGGGAUCCAAAAGAGGUCCCCGUCCAGGUGCGCCUCUCUUUCUCUCUCUCAUAAGUCUUAAAUAUAUAAUGGGAAAGAAAUUACUGAGUAAUGUUGUGAUGACUGUGGCAAAUACAUAGGGACUGUAUCAAUUUGGUGUAUUCAGCACUUUUUUUGUUGGGAAUGAGGUUCCAGGCCGGUUCAGCUAUAAAAGUACGAAGUAUUCGAUAUCUUUUAUUGUCCCUUUACUACUUGCUAGUCACAGAAUUCGAGGCUUGAACAUCUUUGCUACCUAUGCAAAGGAAAAUUCAAAUAAUUAUUCUACUGGACCUAUUAUUGUUCCAAUAAUGAUCAAAGUGAGAAACAAGAGCAAGGGUUUGAAGUGGAUCUAUUGCCCAUUAUCCUAUGGAAUCCCAGGUGACGGAGAAGAUAUGAUAUGGUUGAGCCAUUGGAAGAUGGAGAAUAAUACAAUAUUACAAUGUGGAGAUGAAGUGGUGGUUUCGGUAAUAACCGGACCACGUGACUUGUUUUUGGUAAAGGAGUUUGGUGUCGAGCUUGUGCAAGAGCACCAAGACAAGAUGAGUACCCAACACAACACCAAAUCAGAUCCUAAUUAUCCAUUUGUUAUCGGUGGAGAUUUGAAGACGUGGAAGUGCAAACCAGGAAUAUACUUCCUUAGCUGUAGGAGACGAGAAGAUACUGACGACAUUGAUAUCCUCACCAUGGACUCUGAUGAAGAAGACACAAGUAUGUUGUGUUGUUGUAUAGCAUUGAAUUAUACUCCAUCCAAACACUUCCGGGUGUGUCCGUAUUCAUUUCAAAAACAUUUCCAAUAAAUUUUAUGUUAUUUGUAUGUUUUUCAGACAAAGAAGGGCAAGAGGAUGAACCUGAUUACACAAUUGCAAAGACGAUGGCAGCUAGCAAUAACUGCAGCCUAAGAGGAUGGAAGGUGCGCCUCACAGCUGUCGGCUUCUUUUUCGCGCUUGCUCUAGUUGGUUGGUCCUCCAUCUCGCAAAAAAAGAAGCGACACUCGUCCACAAGCCCACCAUGAGUUUGUAAUUUGACUUGAUAUAGAUAUAUCUUUGCAUUCCUUGCUCUCAAGAUGUUUUCUACCUUCGAAACUUCAAGUUUAGAGCUAAGCACUUUAACCGCUUGAGAUAUAAAAGCCCCUUGCAACUAGAUACCGAAGUUCAAAUGUGUUCAACGCCAUCAAAUAUAGCAUAAAAUACAUCCAGCAUUAGCGAUACUAGCAUAGUAGCAGUAAAUAAGUAAAACCAAAAAAUGCUUCCACACAUGGUAAGGGAAGGACUUUACAUAGGAAUCUUUAGCAAUAACGGGCAAGAUUUUUUUGUUUUUGGGAGGAGGUGGAUUAUUUCGGCACCGGGGAAAACAAAAACAUCCCAUCUUAGUUGUCGUUUACAACAAAAUCAUUCUUAAAGACUCGGCUCCCCAUUGAAAUUGUGUAAAUUGCAUAAAUAUCAAUACAACAGAUAUUAAAUAGAAUAAUAUAUAUCAAAUAAAUUAACGACAAGCAAUUUCUUAGCCUGAGAUCCAAGGACUUUACAGCUGGUUCAGCCUUGCAUUCGCUACUACAUUACAGAAGCUGGUUUCUGCUUCUUCAACCUGAACAAAUUAUUGAGGUCAGGAAGUAUAAGAGGAACGACCAUAGUCUCUGGAGCCAUGAAAUUUACUAUCUUCUUUUGGGCAUUGUACCUGCAAAAGCAUAAUGCAAUAAGCAUUCAACAAUCUGACCUAGUUUUCUCAACAGAUACUCCAAGAUAUUCCAAAACAAAGUCACAGCAAUUUCACAUAGGGAACCGAAGAAUCAUGUUCGUCCACUCUACACAUCCAAAGCAGCAAACUAACAAUUUCACAUAGGAUACCAGGUUGGGAGGAUACAAUCAUUAACAAUUUCAAAAGCUUUAAAUGCAAUCUGAAUACAUGGCAAGUAGGGGUAAACAUGUGAACAGAAAAAAUCAGUGAACAUAAUCAAAUCCAAUACGUCAAUUUUGGCCUAGAUUGAAAUGAAAAAAAAACAAGGAAAUGCUUUGUUGUUUUUGAAGGAAAUAAAACCUAUUUCAUGGAAAUAAAACCUGUGGUUACCUUUGUCUUCCUUUGCCAUUUGUCUAUCGAUUUGUUUCUGAAAGUGGCUAUUCUACAAGAUACAGCAUGACAGGUCCUAGUUAGACCAAGCAACCGGCAUGGAAAUGCUUUCUGAAGCAAGAAUCUGAACUCAAGAGCUUUGUGCCAGAGAGACUUCAGAAAAAUGAAAAAAAACAACAUAGAAUAUGGGUAAGAAUAAACAUCGAUCAAACAAUAAUUCACUGUAUAAAACAUUUUUUCAACUUUAAAGUGUGGCUUAAAAAGAAGCUUUAAACAAGUAGCAAUAAUUUCAUAUUGAAAAAUAAAACCUGGAUAUUACAAGAGCCAUUAUUUUGAAAGACACACCUUUUGGUUCUUCACUACUUGACUUUUAAGAAGAUCUUCGUCCUUGUCACGAUUCAGAUUCUUUAAAAUAUCUCUGCGAUGGAAUAAACAAAACCAAUCUAGGCCAAAAUUGACUUAUUCGAUUUGAUUAUGUUCACUGAUUUUUCUAUUCACAUGUUUACCCCUUACUUGCCAUAUGGUUUUGGGGUGUUAGUGCAUAGUGCUCUUCUCUUUACACACCUGUUUCAUUUGUAUUCGUUGUAAAUUAAGAGACCGUUUGAUAAUCAUUUCGUUUUCAAUUUAAAAAAUAUAAAAAACUAAAUAAAGUUUUCUAAAUUUGACCUAGAAUUUUUCGCUUUUGGUUUUUAAUUUUUUUUUUUAACAACUGAAAACUAAAAAUAGUUACAAAUUUUUUUUUCAGUUUUUAAUUUACAAAAAAGUAAAAACUGAAAACUCUAAACUAUAGACUAAAAAUUAAAAAGUGAAAUCGAAAUGGGCUCUCAACAAAAUUGAAAAAAGACUGGGCUGAAUUACUGAAUUCAAAGCAGGGCUUAUUAACGCUACGAGGCCCAAUGGAUCUGUAUAAAUAUUUUUUGUUUUUUUUUAACAAACGAUAUUAUCUAUAUGGGCUUAACCUUACAAUAGGCUAACAAUAAUGUGGUUCAAAUUUAUUUUUGACGAGAAUCGAACCUAAAACUUCUCGCUUACAAAUGAAGAGGAAUACCACUAAAUCAUAGUCCUGAUAUUUUAUUUAAUAUUUUAAGAAAAAAGAAAGAAAGCAAUGAAAAGCUGUACAUAAACUAAAUACAAAAAGGAAUGAAAUGAAGAAGAGUGGGAGACUAACGUUUAAUUCAAGAUAAAGAAAGAAAGGUAAUCGCACCCCGACGGCGGCGACGUGGCGGUCAUUUAACGGAAAAUAACAGACAAAUCAGCCUCCAGAUCAAGUCUUGAAGCACAACUCUGAAAAAUCGACACUACCUACAGCUGAGCUCCGACCAACCGUUGAUGGAUGCAAUCCGGAAGCUCAGAGAUCAAGUCGCCAAGCAACAGCAGGUACUCUCUCUCUUGUUUGAUUCCGAAUUUGUAUUUCUGUAUGGAUUAUGAUAUGAACAUAAUCUGCGUUGAUUGCGAGAUACUAAGAUUGCUUAAUGAAAUAAUAUUUAUAUAAUUGUUCAAAUUGAAUUGGAUCGAAUUCGAAUAGAUUUUUCACUAUUUCUGAGCUGUUUGGGGCUGUGUUGGAGUGUAUUGUUGCUGAAUUUCUGAAAUUUUGAAUCUAGCAAACACCAGUUCUUUUUGUUUGAACAUCGAUCCACAUCAAUGGCUCUUGUGAGAACAUCUCCAGGAACCUCCUCUGAUUCCAACACUUUUCGGAGUUAUCGCUACGACGUGUUCUUGAGCUUCAGAGGCGAAGAUACUCGCAAGACUUUUACCGACCACCUCUACACAGCCUUGAACAACGCAGGAUUUCUUACGUUCCGAGACGACGAUGAACUUGAGAGAGGGGAAGAUAUAAAGCCAGGACUGCAGAAAGCGAUCCAGCAGUCACGAACUUCUGUUGUCGUGUUUUCGAAAGAUUACGCUUCAUCCAAGUGGUGUCUUGAUGAGCUUGUGCUGAUCCUUGAACGCAAGAGGACCACCUCGGACCAUGUAGUUUUACCAGUCUUCUACGAUGUCGAUCCGUCCCACGUGAGGAAGCAGACAGGAAGUGUUGGAAAAGCAUUUGCUAGAAGCCAGAAAAAUCAGUCGCCGGAAAAGGUGGAGGGAUGGAGGAAGGCACUUGCAGAGAUUGCAGACCUAGCAGGCAUGGUCUUACAAAAUCAAGCUGAUGGGUAACCUUCAUUAUCUCCAUUUCUCUUCUCUUUGUUGGGUCAAUUUGAUGUAUGAUCCGUAGUGACAUAGAUUUUUAUAUAUUUAUUAAUUCAAUCUCAGUAGUGAAUAAUAAUCCCAAUUCAGGUCAACUUAAAGAAAGCACACUCAACUCAACUUAAGGAUUAGUCAUUUUCCAUGUUAAUCUACUGGUUUCCAGUUGCUUAAAUUUUUUUUGAAAGCUGGUGUGGAAAAAAGUUAGGAUGUGAUCUGUUUUGUAUUUGUCUAUAGUUUGUAUAGAUUAUGCGCUGUAUUCCUUUUUUUUUCAAUUUAAUUUUGUCAGGCAAUCAACAUAUGUUUUAAUUAUCUAAUUUCCCCAAUUCAUUUUUCAUUUUGUUUGCAAAUUCUUAGGUACGAGGCAAAGUUUAUCGAAAAAAUUGUUAAAGUGAUAGAAGACAAGUUAAGUCGUAUGCCAUUGAGUGUUGAACCAAAAUUGAUUGGUAUUCAAUAUCAAGCCGAACGCAUCAAUUUGUGGUUACAAGAUGGAUCAAGUGGUGUUGGUAUAUUUGUUGUGUAUGGCAUGUCUGGAAUCGGGAAGACAACCAUUGCAAAACAUGUUUACAAUUCAAACUUUAGAAGCUUUCAAGGAAGUAGUUUCAUUGAAAAUAUCAAAGAAACAGCAGAUCGACCAAAUGGCUUAGUUCAAAUACAAAUGCAACUUCUUUGUGAUAUUUUGAACGGCAGAGAAGUGAAAAUACACAGUGUUAGUGAGGGAAUAAUUAAGAUUGAAAGGGCCAUAAGCUCUAGAAGAGUUCUACUUGUUCUUGAUGAUGUUGACCAUAUGGACCAAUUAGAUGCAAUCCUAAGGAUGAAAGAUCAGUUUUAUCCGGGAAGUAAGAUACUAAUAACAACUAGGCGUGAAAGGUUGCUAAAGGCAGAUCAAGUUACAGAGGUGCACAGAGUUCGGACUUUGUAUUACAAUGAAUCAUUAAAGCUUUUCAGUUGGCAUGCUUUUGGCCAGGACCAUCCCAUAGAAGAAUACAUGGAGCACUCAAAACAGCUUGUGCAACAUAGCGACGGACUUCCAUUAGCUCUAAAAGUUUUGGGUUCUUCUUUAUCAGGGGAAAGUAUAGGUGUAUGGGAAAGUGCAUUGGAGAAGCUAAAAGUUAUUCCUGAUGGUGAAAUCAUGAAUAAACUAAGAAUAAGCUAUGAAAGUUUAAAAGAUGACCAUGAUCGGAAAUUAUUCCUCCACAUUGCUUGUUUCCUAAUAGGAAGGAACAAAAGCUACAUUGUUAGAAUACUCGAUGGAUGUGAUUUCUAUACAAUCAUUGGCAUUCAAACUCUCAUUGAUAGAUGCUUGGUGACACUUGAUGAACACGGCAAGGUGAAAAUGCAUGACAUGAUUCGUGCUAUGGGAAGAGAAAUUGUUCGCCAAGAAUCAGAAGAGCUUGAGGAACGGAGUAGAUUAUGGCGCCAUAAGGAUUCUUUCCAAGUAUUGAGGAAAAAGAAUGUAAGAAACAUGCCUUUUAUGUCUAUAUAUGUAUUCCUUCUUGUGAAAAUUAUGCAUAUUAAUGUCUUUUUUUUUCCUUUAGGGUACAAAAAAAAUCCAAGGUCUUGUCCUGGAUAUGCGUAAUCAUCCUGCAAACAGUCCAAUAAACACAAAUGAGAUAGUCUUGGAAACCAAUGCAUUUGCAAGGAUGUGUAAUUUACAACUACUCCAUCUUAGUCAUGUACGACUGGAUGGAUGUUAUGCAGAUUUCCCUACAGGAUUAAGAUGGGUGUGUUGGCUUGAAUAUCCUUUGGAUUCUAUACCAAUUGAUUUUCCUUUGGAGAACGUAAUUGUUCUUGAAAUGCAAUACAGUAGCUUGAGACAAGUAUGCAAAGGAACAAAAGUAUGUUACUCUAUGCAUUUCAAUUCAUUUUCCUUAUUGUGUUAGUUUCUUAUUUGUUGACUAACUCCAUGUGUUAAAAUGAACUACUAUGUUUUCUUUAAUUCGAUGACUAAUUUCUUAUGUUAGAUACUUAUUUCAUUGUUCUUUUUUCUUUUCUUUUUUUCCCUCUGUUUCCACAGUUUCUUCCAUCGUUGAAGAUCCUUGACGUCAGCCAUUCUCAUGGCCUUAGUGAAACCAUUGACUUCUCACUUUUCCCCAAUCUAGAGGAACUGAUUCUUGUAGAUUGCACAAGCCUGAAGAAUGUUCAUGAAUCCAUUGGAAACCUAGAGCGACUCGUGUACUUGAAUAUGAAGGAUUGCAAGAAUCUUAGGAAGCUUCCGAAGAACAUGUGCAUGCUUAAAUCACUUGAAACGCUCAUUUUAUCUGGUUGCUCAAAUCUUGAUGAGUUUCCCUUGGAGAUGAUGAAGAAGAUGGAGUCUCUGAAAGUUCUUGAGACAGAUGGAAUUCCAAUAAGUGAAUUGUGGCCAGAAAGAAGUUCAACUAUCUUGAGUUCUUUUCCACGCUCUUUAGUAGAGUUAAGUCUGAAGGGAUGCAAUCUUUCUGAUGAUGUCUUUCCUACGGAUUUAAGUAAUUUAUCCUACUUGCGAGGACUACAUUUAGAUGAGAAUCCAAUUUGCAGUCUGCCAGUUUUCAUCAAAGGUUUGAGGAGGAUCGAUAAACUCUCUUUCAAGGGUUGUGAUAGGCUUGAAUCGCUUGUGGGGUUGCCGGAAGUACACCAAAUAAUGAGUAUAGUCAGAUGCAUAUCAUUAAAAAAAUAACUUUUCAUUCCCCUGGGCAACAUCAUCUAUCACGUGUAAUUUACAAUGACAACCGGAAUCUUGUUGAGGCGGAGUGUUUUUACAAGUUAGAGCCUAUUGAUAGAGUUGAUGUGGAAAUGAUCAAACUUUUGGGCUUGUGCAACUUGGAAUCCAUGCCAGCUGUUCGAAUGCAUCAUCCACUCACAAACUGGGAUCUAAUAGACGUCCCCGUCCAGGUGCGCCUCUUUUUCUCUCUCUCUCAUAAGUCUUAAAUAUAUAAUGGGAAAGAAAUGACUGAGUAAUGUUGUGAUGACUGUGGCAAAUACAUAGGGACUGUAUCAACAUGGUAUAUUCAGCACCUUUUUUGUUAGGAAUGAGGUUCCAGGCCUGUUCAGCUAUAAAAGUACCAAGUCCUCGAUAUCUUUUAUUGUCCCUUUACUACUUGCUAGUCACAGAAUUCGAGGCUUAAACAUCUUUGCUACCUAUGCAAAGGAAAAUUCAAAUAAUUAUUCUACUGGACCUAUUAUUGCUCCAAUAAUGAUCAAAGUGAGAAACAAGAGUAAGGGUCUGAAGUUGAUCUAUGACCCUGAGUUCUACGGAAUUCCAGGUGACGGAGAAAAUAUGAUAUGGUUGAGCCAUUGGAUGAUGGAGAAUAAAACAAUAUUACAAUGUGGAGAUGAAGUGGUGGUUUCGGUAAUAACCGGACCACGUGACAUGUUUUGGGUAAAGGAGUUUGGUGUCGACCUUGUGCAAGAGCACCAAGACAAGAUGAGUACCCAACACAACACCAAAUCCGAUCCUAAUUAUCCAUUUGUUAUCGGUGGAGAUUUGAAGAUGUUUGAGCGCAGACCGGGAAUAUACUUCCUUGGCAAUUAUGCAAGAAAAGAUAUUGAUGACAUUGAUAUCCUCACCAUGGCCUCUGAUGAAGAAGACACAAGUAUGUUGUGUUGUUGUAUAGCAUUGAAUUAUACUCCAUCCAAACACUUCCAUGUGUGGUCCGUAUUCAUUUCAAAAAUGUUUCCAAUAAAUGUUAUGUUAUUUGUAUGUUUUUCAGACAAAGAAAGACAAGAGGAUGAACCUGAUUACACAAUUGCAAAGACGAGGGCUGCUAGCAAUAACUGCAGCUUGAGAGGCUGGAAGGUGCGCCUCACAGCUGUCGGCUUCUUUUUUUCGCUUGCUCUAGUAGGUUGGUCCUCCAUCUCCCAAAAAAAGAAGCGACACUCGUCCACAAGCCCACCAUGAGUUUGUAAUUUGACUUGAUAUAGAUAUAUCUUUGCAUUCCUCUCAGGAUGUUUUCUAUCUUCAAAACUUCAAGUUCGCUAAGCACGCUUAACCGCUUGAGAUAUAAAAGCCCCUUGCAACUAGAUACCAAAGUUAAAAUGUGUUCAAAACAUCAAAUAUAGCAUAAAAUACAUCCAGCAUUAGUUAUACUAGCAGAGUAGCAAUAAAUAAGUAAAACAAAAAAAUGCUUCCACACACGGUAAGGGAUGGACUUUGACAUAGGUAUCUUUAGAGCAAUUCCACCCCUAAGGACUUUGCGUCCGCACCUAGCGCAUUUAUCCACUCAAAUGAACAGUAACAGACUCUAAUGAACAGUAAUAGGCCAAGCAUCUCCACCCCUAAAAAAAUGCGCUGGCACCUAGUAAAAAAAUGCGUUGGCACAAACGAUCUUCAUCCCUACAAAAUGCGCUGGCACCCAGCCCAUUUAAAAUAUUUUUAAAUGUUGUCUAAAAGAAUAAAAAAAUAAAAUAGUUUUAAUUUCGGAUAGGAUUUUUAACUAAUCUCGUCACACCACAUGUCAUUAUCUGAACGUACUAUUUUGUGAAUAGAUUUCCGCUAAGAUUUUCUGUAUUUUUUAAUAAUUUUUAAUGAAUUUUAAUAUAGUUAAUUAAUCUGGACCGUUAGAUUUGAAAAAAUAUUCAAAUCCAAGAGACAGGGAGUUGCCACGUGGCCAACAGUCAUAUUUCUGACCGUUGGGCCUUUUUUUUUUUUUUUUACUUUUUUGUAAAAAAAACGUGGACCGUUGAUCUUUGAUCCGACAGUCUAUUUUAAAAGUAAAAUUUAAAUUUUUUUACCGUUGGAAAUCCAACGGUCUAGAAAAGGGAGCCACGUCGCCAACUCGAGGGGGGGGGGGAAACUGAGUGCGCCACGCGGGCCCGCCUUCUGAAAUCUUGUCGGGCACUCGCGCCAGCACCUCCAUGAAGCGCACGCGCAAGGCAAACUGCCCAGCUUCUUGCUCAGUCUCGUUUGGGCUGGGUACCAGUCAAGUUGAAGGGGUGGACUUGGUUGACAGGGUGCUGGCCUUGUUUUUGUGCUGGAUCCUGGGCAAAUUCCACUGGGGUGGAAUUGCUCUUAGCAAUAACGGGCAAGAUUUUUUUUAGGGAGGGGGAAGGGAUUAUUUUGGCAUCGGGGAAAACAAAAACAUCCUAUCUGCUUAUGAAUGACAAAUUUACAAAUCUUAAUUGUCGUUUACAACAAAAUCAUUCUUAAAGACUCGGCUCCCCAUUGAAAUUGUGUAAAUUGCAUAUAUAACAAUACAACAGAUAUUAGAUAGAAUAAUAUAUAUCAAAUAAUUUAACGAUAGGACUUUACAGUUGGUUCAGCCUUGCAUUGCUACUACGCUACAGAAGCUGGUUUCUGCUUCUUCCACCUGAACAAAUUAUUGAGGUCAGGAAGUAUAGGAGGAACGGCCAUAGUCUCUGGAGCCAAGAAAUUUACUAUCUUCUCAUGAACAUUGUACCUGCAAAAGCAUAAUGCAAUAAGCAUUCAACAAUCUGACCUAGUUUGCUCAACAGAUGCUCUAAGAUAUUCCAAAACAAAGUCACAACAAUUUCACAUAGGGAACCGAAGAAUCAUGUUCAUCCACUCAACACAUCCAAAGCAGCAAACUAACUAGGAUACCAGGUUGGGAGGAUACAAUCAUUAACAAUUUCAAAAGCUUUAAACGCAAUCUGAAUAUAUGGCAAGUAGGGGUAAACAUGUGAACAGAAAAGUCAAAGAACAUAAUCAAAUCGAAUAAGUCAAUUUUGGCCUAGAUUGAAAUGAAAAAAAAAACAAGGAAAUGCUUUGUGUAUCGAUUUGUUUAUGAAGGAAAUAAAUGCUUUGUGUAUCCAUUCGUCUAUCAAUUUGUUUCUGAAAGUGGCUAUUCUACAAGAUACAGCAUGACAGGUCUUAGUUGGACCAAGUAACCGGCAUGGAAAUGCUUUCUGAAGCAAGAAUCUGAACUCAAGAGUUUUGUGCCAGAGAGACUUCAGAAAAAUGAAAAAAACAACAUAGAAUAUGGGUAAGAAUAAACAUCGAUUAGACAAUAAUUCACUGUAUAAAUAAUUUUUUCAACUUUAAAGUGUGGCUUAAAAAGAAGCUUUAAACAAGUAGCAAUAAUUUCAUAUUGAAAAAUAAAACCUAUUUCAUGGAUAUUACAAGAGCCAUUAUUUUGAAAAACACACCUUUUGGUUCUUCACUGCUUGACUUUUAAGAAGUUCUUUGUUCUUGUGACAAUUCAGAUUCUUUAAAAUAUCUCUGCAACGGAAUAAACAAAACCAAUCUAGGCAAAAAUUGACUUGUUCGAUUUGAUUAUGUUCACUGAUUUUUCUGUUCACAUGUUUACCCCUACUUGCCAUAUAGUUUUAGUUUUGGGGUGUUAGCGCAUAGUGCUCUUCUCUUUACACACCAGUUUCAAUUUUAUUCUUCGUAAAUUAAGAGACCGUUUGAUAAUCAUUUCGUUUUCAAUUUUAAAAAAUAUAAAAAACUAAAUAAAGUUUUCAAAAUUUGACCUAGAAUUUUCGCUUUUGGUUUUCAAUUUUAAUUUUUUUUUAAACAACUGAAAACUAAAAAUAGUUACAAAAAGAAUUUUUCAGUUUUUAAUUUACAAAAAAGUAAAAACUGAAAACUCUAUACUAUAGACUAAAAAUUAAAAAGUGAAAUCGAAAUGGGCUCUCAACAAAAUUGAAAAAAGACUGGGCUGAAUUACUGAAUUCAAAGCAGGGCUUAUUAACGUUACGAGGCCCAAUGGAUAUGUAUAAAUAUUUUUCGUUUUUUGUUUAACAAACGAUAUUAUUUAUAUGGGCUUAAUGUUACAGUGAGCUAACAAUAAUGUGGUUCAAAUUUGCUUUUCGUAAGAAUCGAAUCUAAAACUUCUCACUUAGAGAAAUACCUCUAAACCGUAAUCUGAGUGGCUCGUUAUUUUAUUUUAUAUUUUAAGAAAAAAGAAAGAAAGCAAUGAAAAGCUGUACAUAAAAUAAAUACAAAAAGCUAAGAAAUGAAGAAGAGUGGGAGACUAACGUUUAAUUCAAGAUAAAGAAAGAAAGGUAAUCGCAAGACGACGGCGGCGACGUGGCGGUCAUUAAACGGAAAAUAACAGACAAAUCAGCCUCCAGAUCAAGUCUUGAAGCACAACUCUGAAAAAUCGAGACUACCUACAGCUGAGCUCCGACCAACCGUUGAUGGAUGCAAUCCGGAAGCUCAGAGAUCAGGUCGCCAAGCAACAGCAGGUACUCCCUCUCGUUUGAUUCCGAAUUUGUAUUUCUGUAUGGAUUUUGAUAUGAACAUAAUCUGCGUUGAUUGCGAGAUACUGAGAUUGCUUAAUGAAAUAAUAUUUAUAUAAUUGUUCGAGUUGAAUUGGAUCGAUUCGAAUUCAAAUAGAAUUUCACUAUUUCUGAGCUGUUUGGGGAUGUGUUGGAGUGCAAUGUUGAUGAAUUUCUGAAAUUUUGAGCUAGGUGUUGCUAAUUACUUAUCAAUUUUUGAUGUAAUUGGAUGCUUAAUUUUUACAUUUUCGGAAAACUUCAAGCGAAAAUGGCAUAUAAUUCAACGUUCCAUGCUUCAUUAAUGCAUAUGAGUUAGUCGAAGCUUCAUCGAGUUUGCUUUUGAUUAUUUUGUGAACACCGUCAGGCCGUGUUCAAACAAUUUUCUGGUGGCAUAUAUGGGGGAUCGGAUAAUGUUGCCUCGGAUGAAAAUGAAUUUCAACAGCAUCAGAAACUCGAGAAGCUGUACAUAUCAACUCGUGCUGCCAAGGUUGCUACGCUUAUUUUUGUCUGUGCUUUAAACGAGCAUCACGUUAGUUGUGUUACCUAUCGUUUUUUGCUUCUUCUUUAACAGCAUUACCAAAAGGAAAUUGUCCGCGGAGUGGAAGGUUACAUUGUGGCCGGUUCAAAGCACGUUGAAAUAGGUAUGUUGCUUGAAAUGCGUUGUCUUUUCUUGGGAGUUUGGAUAUGAAUUCGUGUUGGUUUUAUCAGCUGGUAUACAUAAUACUUUUUCAACAGGUACGAAGCUAUCAGAAGAUAGCAGGAAAUAUGGUUCUGAAAAGACUUGCACCAGUGGUAACACAUUGUCGAGAGCUGCACUGAGUUUUGGAAGAGCUCGGGCCCAAAUGGAAAAAGAGUGCGGAGUUCUACUUAAAGCCCUUGGCACACAGGUUUAAGUCAAAUUAUUACUAACAAUGGCUCAUUAAGUAAAAAUCAAAUAUUGCCAGGGCCAGUUUCAUACAAAUGGAAUUUCAACUGACUAAUUUUCGUGUGCAUUUGAUCAUUUCGAAAGAAAUUUACAGCAAAAAUUGUUUUCAUUUCCACGUCGUGGUUCAAGAAUUGGACUACUUUUUGUGUUUCUAUGCAUCGUAUGACAAACUGGCUCACCAUUUCUUUCUAUAGGUUUGCAUAAUAACUCUUUGUGUGCUUAUCAAUUUGCCUGUGUAGGUUGCAUAGCCUUUAUAGUGGGAGCGCCCAUGGAGGAUGCUCGACAUCUUGCUCAACGUUAUGCUAGAAUGCGGCAAGAAGCUGAAGCUCAGGUAUAUGCAGUUUCUUCUGUUUCCUACCAAUUUUAUUCUACAGUGAUUUUAUAUCCAAAACAAGCAUUGACUUGGCUGUCCAUCCAUCAAUAGCAGGUCCACAUCUCAACCCAAAUAUAAUGACGUCAAAGGAGAGGGGAAAAUGAGAAGGAAACUCUGGAGGGUAGAGGGAAGGAAAAGGAGAAAAGGAGAAAGGGAGAAGGGAAAAGUAGAACGGGAAGGAGGAAAAUGAGAGGAAAUUUCGGAGAAUAGAGAAAAGGAGAAGGGAAAAGAAGAAAAGCAGAAAAGAAGGGAAAAGGGGAAGGAAGCUUAGGAGGCUAGAGAAAAAGAGGGAAAUGCAUAAAAAUAAAAAAAUAAAAAAGGAAAGUCGCCUUCAUCAUUAUGUCUACUAACGGAAAGGAGCAACCACAUUGUAAAUUAUACUAAAAAUAUGACUUUAACCCCUCAAACUCAAUUUCUUUCAUAUAAAACCCGACAUAACAUUUUUACUCGAAUAAAACCCAAUGACUAGACUUCACAUAAGCAAAUUCAUUAAUUAUGACAUUUUAAAAAUUUCUAAUGCCUAAAAUACCCCUGUUUGCAUGUUUAAUGUGCACAAUUAAACAUAUGCAGAUUUUAAGGAGGAUUAAUGAUUUUACAAAAAUAAAAUAAUAAAAAAGGCACAAAUAUUCUAAAUGCAUUGCAUGUUAUAUGAAUUUGGUUGAUUCAUGUUUCUCUCACUUCAUAAAAUUUGCUUCUAAUUUGAUAUAGGAAUUAAUUUGGAAAGUUUUCUUAAUCUUAAUAACAAUUUUCAAUUUAAAUAUAUUUUUUAAUGAAAUAGUCUAUCUUUUAAAAUAAUUAUCAAUAAAAUAAUGAAAUAGUCUAUCUUUUCAAUUUAAAUAAUGUACCUGUUAUUUAAUUUUUACAACACUAAUGUAUCUUAAAAAAUAAUUUACUUAUUGUUUAGUUUUAGCAAAAAUAAUUUACCUACUGUGUAUAAUUGGUGAAGCUAAUGAUGUACAUAUUGUUUAAUUUUUUAAAAAUUAAUGUAUGUACAAAAAUAAUUUAUCUAUUGUUCAAAUUUUAGGAUAAAAAUUUACAUGUUUUUAUUUAACAAUAAUGUAUCUACAAUUUAUUUUUGUAUGAAUAUAAUUUACCUACUUUUUAAUUUUAUAUGAAACUAAUUUACCUACUGUGUCAGUAAUGUAUCUACAAUUUUACAUACAAUAUUUACCUUCUUUUUUUUUUUCACAACAAUAGUGUAUCUACAAUUUUGUUUUUGUAUGAAUAUAGUUUACCUACAAUUUAACUUUUCAAAAAAUGUAUCUUCUAUUUUAUAGUUUACUAUCAUAUAUAUGUUUAUGUGUUCGCAAAAUAAUUUAUCUAAAGUUAUAUAGUUAAGAGAUAUGCUAAUGAAUUAUAUUAAUUCAUUAUUAGACUGAUAUAAGAAAUUGUUAAAAACGUUAGCCAUAAUGGUUGGCUAAUAAUGGUUGUAUGAGAACAGUUAUAGAAAGUUGUGGCAUAAAUUGUAAAUAACUUAUAUUAAUAGGUUACUUAUUUUCUUAUUUGGUAAUUUAUUUAAAUUUUGGGUUUUGAUUGAAUGUUUAUUCAUAGGUGGGUUUUUAUCUGAAGUAUAUGAGUUGUAUGGGUCUAUAUCUAAACAACCCUAAAUUAUAUUUUGUAUAAUGAGAAACCAGUAUUCCUACCCCGAGGGUAUAGACACAACUUACUAAAUCUCGUUACUAUACAGCAAGCUUAUAAUUGCGCAAUAAUUCGAUCAACCAUCUUAAGUUCAACCAUUCAUGUAACAAGAUUCAAGUUUUCUAAACUUUCCUUAUUAAGGUAACUGAACAUUACAAGUGCCACGUUAUUAUGCGGUUCUAUCAAGUUUUAAUUUUUGUCUCAUAACCACAUCAUCUUUAGGACAAUCAUCUUGUAGUUGAAUAUAUAAACCUUCGAUAUGGCGAUAUUGGAAACGCUUGUUGGUGGGUUGAUUGGUAGAAAUGGUUCCAACAAUUCAAGGAUGAGAAAUGAGCAUUGAGCAACGAACAAAAUAUAUUGUAUUUUAUCACAAAAGAUGUUUGUGCAAUUAAAAGUGCAUUUUAUCACAAAGAGGUGAGCAACGAUCAAUAUAAUUGUUAUUUAUAAAAGGGAACAUUAACAAAAGUUUCCGGUACUGUUUAUUUUAAUAAAAAAUUACAUUUUUACAUUAAAAGUCAAUACUGAUACUAUUUAUUUUACCCUUUAUUUUAUCUUUAUUAUUAAAACUCAAAAUUUUUAAAUUUCUUUUAUUAAUUUUUUUUUUAUAAAAUCACACGUAAAACAAGAAGUAAUCUUUUCUUUUUCUUUUCGUCUCUGCCACAAGCGGCCGACCAUGACUUAAACAAACGCUUUUUGGGUGGGUCAAGGUAUGGGAACGACCCAUUUUAUAUGUUACAUGGUUGUGCAAUUAAAAGUGCAUUGUAUCAUAAAAAGGUGAGCAACGAUCACUAUAAUUGUUAUUUAUAAAAUCACACAAAACACAAGAAGGAAUCUUUUCUUUUUCUUUUUCAUCUCUGCCACUACCAGCCAUGACUUAAAAGAAACGUUUUUUGGUUCAAUGGAUGGGAACGGCCCAUUUUAUAAUAAGGAAAAUUAAUAAAAAAAAAUUUUAAAUUUAAAUUUUAACGAAAAUAAUAAAAAGAUGUUGUAAGUGAAUAAUACAUGAUUGAUUUUUUUGAAUAAAAAAAUAUAUAUUGUUUUAAAUAAACAGUAUUAGGAGUGUUUGGUUCAAAUCCCUUUAUAAUAUUGUUCGUAAAUUUUUCUGGAAGUAGAUGGAAAUGACCCAAUUACAUAUUUCCCCUGCUCACAGACAUUUUCAUUGCACCUAGAAAACCAGUUUUUUGUUAGAAAAUCGAUCCACAUCAAUGGCUCUUGUGAGAACAUCUCCAGGAACCUCCUCUGAUUCCAACACUUUUCGGAGUUAUCGCUACAACGUGUUCUUGAGCUUCAGAGGCGAAGAUACUCGCAAGACUUUUACCGACCACCUCUACACAGCCUUGAACAACGCAGGAUUUCUUACGUUCCGAGACGACGAUGAACUUGAGAGAGGAGAAGAUAUAAAGCCAGGACUGCAGAAAGCGAUCCAGCAGUCACGAACUUCUGUUGUCGUGUUUUCGAAAGAUUACGCUUCAUCCAGGUGGUGUCUUGAUGAGCUUGUGCUGAUCCUUGAACGCAAGAGGACCACCUCGGACCAUGUAGUUUUACCAGUCUUCUACGAUGUCGAUCCGUCCCACGUGAGGAAGCAGACAGGAAGUGUUGGAAAAGCAUUUGCUAGAAGCCAGAAAAAUCAGUCGUCGGAAAAGGUGGAGGGAUGGAGGAAGGCACUUGCAGAGAUUGCAGACCUAGCAGGCAUGGUCUUACAAAAUCAAGCUGAUGGGUAACUUUCAUUAUCUCCAUUUCUCUUCUCUUUCUUGGGUCAAUUUGAUGUAUGAUCCGUGGUGACCUAGAUUUUUAUAUGUUUAUUAAUUCAAUCUCAGUAGUGAAUAAUAAUCUCAAUUUAGGUCAACUUAAAGAAAUCACACUCAACUCAACUUAAGGAUUAGUCAUUUUCCAUGUUAAUCUACUGGUUUCCAGUUGCUUAAAUUUUUUUGAAAGCUGGUGUGGAAAAAAGUUAGGAUGUGAUCUGUCAUGUAUUUGUCUAUAGUUUGUAUAAAUUAUGCGCUGUAUUCCUUUCUUUUUUUUUCAAUUUAAUUUUGUCAGCAGUCCCUUUUUUUUUUUUUUUUUCUUAUUUAAAUAAAGGCAAUCAACAUAUGUUUGAAGGGAACUUUAACGAAAAGCUCCCAGUACUGUUCACUUUAACGAAAAACCACAUUUUUUCACUAAAAAGUAAAUCCUGAUACUAUUUACUUUAUCCUUUAUUUUGUAAUUAUAUAUUUUCCCAAUUCAUUUUUCGUUUUGUUUGCAAAUUCUUAGGUACGAGUCAAAGUUUAUCAAAAAAAUUGUUAAAGUGAUAGGAGACAAGUUAAGUCGCACGCCAUUGAGUGUUGAACCAAAAUUGAUUGGAAUUCAAUCUCAAGCCGAACGCAUCAAUUUGUGGUUCCAAGAUGGAUCAAGUGAUGUUGGUAUAUUUGUUGUGUAUGGCAUGUCUGGAAUAGGGAAGAAAACCAUUGCAAAACAUGUUUACAAUUCAAACUUUGGAAGCUUUCAAGGAAGUAGUUUCAUUGAAAAUAUCAAAAAAACAGCAGAUCGACCAAAUGGCUUAGUUCAAAUACAAAUGCAACUUCUUUGUGAUAUUUUGAACGGCAGAGAAGUGAAAAUACACAGUGUUAGUGAGGGAAUAAUUAAGAUUGAAAGGGCCAUAAGCUCUAAAAGAGUUCUACUUGUUCUUGAUGAUGUUGACCAUAUGGACCAAUUAGAUGCAAUCCUAAGGAUGAAAGAUCAGUUUUAUCCUGGAAGUAAGAUACUAAUAACAACUAGGUGUGAAAGGUUGUUAAAGGCUGAUCAAGUUACAGAGGUGCACAGAGUUCAAACUUUGGAUGACAAUGAAUCAUUAAAGCUUUUCAGUUGGCAUGCUUUUGGCCAGGACCAUCCCAUAGAAGAAUACAUGGAGCACUCAAAACAGCUAGUGCAACAUAGCGGCGGACUUUCAUUAGCUCUAAAAGUUUUGGGUUCUUCUUUAUCAGGAGGAAGUAUAGGUGUAUGGGAAAGUGCAUUGGAGAAGCUAAAAGUUAUUCCUGAUGGUGAAAUCAUGACUAAACUAAGAAUAAGCUAUGAAAGUUUAAGUAAUCUAUCAUACUUGCGAAGACUACAUUUAGAUGAGAAUCCAAUUUGCAGUCUGCCAGUUUUCAUCAAAGGUUUGAGGAGGAUCGAUGAACUCUCUUUCUGGGGUUGUGAGAGGCUCGAAUCGCUUGUGGGGUUGCCGGAAGUGCACCAAAAGAUAAAUAUAGUCAGAUGCAUAUCAUUAAAAAAAAUAACUUAUCAUUCCCCUCCGCGACCGGUUACAAUACAUUUGCGUGACAACUGGAAUCUUGUUGAGUGGGAGCACUAUUACAAGUUAGAGCCUAUUGAUAGAGUUGAUGUGGAAAUGAUCAAACUUUUGGGCUUGUGCAACUUGGAAUCCAUGCCAGCUGUUCGAAUGCGUUAUCCUUCCUACACAAACGGGGUUCCAAAAGAGGUCCCCGUCCAGGUGCGCCUCUUUUUCUCUCUCUCUCGUAAGUCUUAAAUAUAUAAUGGGAAAGAAAUGACUGAGUAAUGUUGUGAUGACUGUGGCAAAUACAUAGGGACUGUAUCAACAUGGUAUAUUCAGCACAUUUUUUGUUGGGAAUGAGGUUCUAGACCUGUUCAGCUAUAAAAGUACCAAGUCUUCGAUAUCUUUUAUUGUCCCUAUACUACUUGCUAGUCACAGAAUUCGAGGCUUGAACAUCUUUGCUACCUAUGCAAAGGAAAAUUCAAAUAAUUAUUCUAGUGGACCUAAUAUUGGUCCAAUAAUGAUCAAAGUGAGAAACAAGAGUAAGGGUUUGAAGUGGAUCUAUUCCCCAGAGUUCUAUGGAAUUCCAGGGGACGGAGAGGAAAUGAUAUGGUUGAGCCAUUGGAAGAUGGAGAAUAAAACAAUAUUACAAUGUGGAGAUGAAGUGGUGGUUUCGGUAAUAACCGGACCACGUGACUUGUUUUCGGUAAAGGAGUUUGGUGUCGAGCUUGUGCAAGAGCACCAAGACAAGAUGGGUACCCAACACAACACCAAAUCCGAUCCUAAUUAUCCAUUUGUUAUCGGUGGAGAUUUGAAGACGUUUGACUGCAAACCGGGAAUAUACUUCCUUGGCAAUUAUGAAAGAAAAGAUAUUGAUGACAUUGAUAUCCUCACCAUGGACUCUGAUGAAGAAGACACAAGUAUGUUGUGUUGUUGUAUUGCAUUGAAUUAUACUCCAUCCAAACACUUACAGGUGCGUCCGUAUUCAUUUCAAAAAUGUUACCAAUAAAUUUUAUGUUAUUUGUAUGUUUUUCAGACAAAGAAGGACAAGAGGAUGAACCUGAUUACACAUGUGCAAAGACGAGGGCUGCUAGCAAUAACUACUGCCUGAGAGGCUGGAAGGUGCUCCUCACAUUUGUCGGCUUCUUUUUUGCGCUUGCUCUAGUAGGUUGGUCCUCCAUCUCCCAAAAAAGGAAUCGACACUAGUCCACAAGCCCACCAUGAGUUUGUAAUUUGACUUGAUAUAGAUAUAUCUUUUCAUUCCUUGCUCUCAAGAUGUUUUCUACCUUCAAAACUUCAGCUUCAAAGCUAAGCACUCUUAACUGCUUGAGAUAUUAAAGCCCCUUGCAACUAGAUACCGAAGUUCAAAUGUGUUCAACGCCAUCAAAUAUAGCAUAAAAUACAUCCAGCAUUAGCUAUACUAGCAGAGUAGCGGUAAAUAAGUAAAACAAGAUUUAUUUUGGAGGGGGGGGGGGGGGGGGCGGGGAUUAUUUCGGCACCGGGGAAAGCAAAAACAUCCAAUCUGCUUAUAAAUGACAAAGUUACAAAUCUUAAUUGUCGUUUACAACAAAAUCAUUCUUAAAGACUCGGCUCCCCAUUGAAAUUGUGUAAAUUGCAUAAAUAUCAAUACAACAGAUAUUAGAUAGAAUAAUAUAUAUCAAAUAAAUUAACGACAGGCAAUUUCAAAAGCUUUAAAUGCAAUCUGAAUACAUGGCAAGUAGGGGUAAACAUGUGAACAGAAAAAUCAUUAACAAUUUCAAAAGCUUUAAAAACCGAAAACUCUAAACUAUAGACUAAAUAUUAAAAAGUGAAAUUGAAAUGGGCUCUCAACAAAAUUGAAAAAAGACCGGGAUGAAUUGGUGAAUUCAAAGCAGGCCUUGUUAAUGCUACGAGGCCCAAUGGGAUCCGCAUAAAUAUUUUUCGUUAUUAUUAUUUUAUUUUUAACAAACGAUAUUAUUUACGUGAGUUUAGUGUCAUAAUGGAUUAUCAAUAAUAUGGUUCAAAUUCGUUUUUGGCAAAAAUUGAACCUAUUCUACUUACAAAUGAAGAAGAAUACCAUUAGACUUUAGUACUAAGUGGUUUGUUAUUUUAUUUAUAUUUUAUGGAAAAUGAAAGAAAGCAAUGAACAGCUGUACGUAAACUAAAUACAUCAAGGAAUGAAAUGAAGAGGAGUGGGAGACUAACGUUAGAAAGGUAAACGCACCACGACGGCGGCGACAUGGCGGUCAUUUAACGGAAAAUAACAGACAAAUCAGCCUCCAGAUCAAGUGUUGAAGCAAAACUCUGAAAGAUCGAGACUACCUACAGCUGAGCUCCAACCGACCAACCGUUGAUGGAGGCAAUCAGGAAGCUCAGAGAUCAGGUCGCCAAGCAACAGCAGGUACUCUCUCUUGUUUGAUUCCGAAUUUGUAUUUAUGGAUUUUGAUAUGAACAUAAUCUGCGUUGAUUGCGAGAUACUGAGAUUGCUUAAUGAAAUAAUAUUUAUAUAAUUGUUCGAAUUGAAUUGGAUCGAUUCGAGUAGAAUUUCACUAUUUCUGAGCUGUUUGGGGCUGUGUUGGAGUGCAAUGUUGCUGAAUUUCUGAAAUUUUGUGCUAGGCGUUGCUAAUUGCUUAUCGAUUUUCGGAUUUAAUUGGAUGCUUAAUUUUUACAUUUUCGAAAAACUUCAAGCGAAAAUGGCAUAUAAUUCAACGUUCUAUGCUUUGUUAAUGCAUAAGAGUUAGUCGAAGUUUUAUCGAGUUUGCUUUUGAUUAUUUUGUGAACACCGUCAGGCUGUGUUCAAACAAUUUUCUGGUGGCAUAUACGGGGGAUCGGAUAAUGUUGCCUCGGAUGAAAAUGAAUUUCAACAGCAUCAGAAACUCGAGAAGCUGUACAUAUCAACUCGUGCUGCCAAGGUUGCUACGCUUAUUUUUGUCUGUGCUUUAAACGAGCAUCACGUUAGUUGUGUUACCUAUCGUUUUUUGCUUCUUUUUUAACAGCAUUACCAAAAGGAAAUUGUCCGCGGAGUGGAAGGUUACAUUGUGGCCAGUUCAAAGCACGGUGAAAUAGGUAUGUUGCUUGAAAUGCAUUGUCUUUUCUUGGGAGUUUGGAUAAAUUCAUGUUGGUUUUAUCAGUUGGUAUACAUAAUACUUUUUCAACAGGUACCAAGCUAUCAGAAGAUCGCAGGAAAUAUGGUUCUGAAAAGACUUGCAGCAGUGGUAACACAUUGUCGAGAGCUGCACUGAGUUUUGGAAGAGCUCGCGCCCAACUGGAAAAAGAGUGCGGAGUUCUUCUUAAAGCCCUUGGCACACAGAUUCAAGUCAAAUUAUUACUAACAAUGGCUCAUUAAGUAAAAAUCAAAUAUUGCCAGUGCCGGUUUCAUACAAAUGGAAUUUCAACUGACUAAUUUUCAUGUGCAUUUGAUAAUUUCGAAAGAAAUUUACAGUAAAAAUUGUUUCCAUUUUCACGUGUGGUUCAAGAACUGGACUACUUUUUGUGUUAUUAUGCAUCAUAUAACAAACCGGUUCACCAUUUCUAUCUAUAGGUUUGCAUAAUAACUCUUUCUGUGCUUAUCAAUUUGCCUCUGUAGGUUGCAGAGCCUUUAAAAGCAAUGAUAGUGAGAGCGCCCUUGGAGGAUGCUCGACAUCUAGCUCAACGAUAUGCUAGAAUGCGGCGAGAAGCUGAAGCUCAGGUAUAUGCAGUUUCUUCUGUUUCCUACCAAUUUUAUACUACAGUGAUUUUAUAUGUUACAUGGUGAUCGUACAUUUUCUCGGUUAACUUUUUUUGUUUUCUUUUAUAAGUGUUUGUUCAUUUUGAGACAAUCAUGCAUUGGUAUUCAUAGAGAACGCAAAAUCUUAAGAUAUUUAAUGUAAACUUGUUGAGAUUGCUUCAUUACUUGAAGCUUUGUUGUAAUUUGGUUUUUGGUUUUUUUAUUACUCCUUCAGAUUUGUCUAUAUAUACUAACUUGCACCGGGAUAGGCUAUAGAUGCUUCCAGACACUAGACCAAAGCACCGGAUUCUGCAGGUAAUGCUGAUAUUAUCAUGAAACUAGAAGCUGCUGAAGCCGAGCUUCAGGAGCUGCAGUCUAGCGUUGCAAUAUUGGGAAAAGAAGCUAGUGCAGCUAUGGCUGCUGUUGAAGGUCAACAACAAAGAUUGACUCUUCAGCGGCUUCUUGCGAUGGUAACGGAUUGCCUUCCCCUUUUUAUUUAAGUAUUAAGACCUUGGCCUGUUCUAGUUACAAGAAUAAAAAGGUCGUACCCAGUGCACAAGGCUCCCGCUUUACGCAGGGUCUGGGAGAGAUGAAUGUCGGCUAGCCUUACCCCCAUUUAUGAAGAGGCUACUCCCAAGGUUCUAGUUACAAGAAUGAAAAGGAAAUUAAUUUUGUAAAUUUAUCAUUUUUCGUCCCCAUUCCAGGUUGAAGCAGAGCGCAACUACCAUCCAAACAUUCUUCAGAUACUUGAUCAGCUUGAAGGCGAGGUGUGAAAUAUCCUAAAGUCUUCCUUUCAGCGUGACAAUUUCUUUUCCCAAUUCAUUUGGCUGUAUAUUAUUCUAGUGUCUUGCUACUAAAAGAAGAGAUCAUUGACACUAUUUGUUGGGACAGAUUUUGUCAGAAAAGCAGCGAAUUGAAGCAUCGCAUAGUCCGCCUACAGAGGACGCUAUGCCUCCACCACCAUCGUAUAAGGAUCUCAGCCGUAGCUUUGCUUCUGAAACCUAUGAUGAAUUGACAGAGUUGAGGGACUCUUUCUUAGGAGAGGUAUCUUUAUGCUAAUGUUGUUGUAUCCAAGUUUUAGUCUGUUCGACUCUUUAGUUUCUAGUAACUGUUUCUUUUCGCCUACCGCAGGUAAUGUACACCUUCCACACUGUAACUGAUGUGGAGUUAAGUUUGUCAUUCGGGGAUUACGUUGUCGUCCGGAAGGUUCUGUCAUCUUUCCUGCUUGCAUGCUUUCAUCUUAUAUUCAUGUUCGGAUUUAUUUCUUUCGUAUUGAGGUUAAAUUUUCAUGUUCAGAGACGUUCACUCAGGUAUGUUCGUCAAUGCAUAUGCAUUAGCACACCACCGAGUGUAUUAGAAUAUGGAUUUCAGUUUUGGGUGCUGCAUGCAUUAAUGUAGUUUGUGUGGUUUUGGUUAUUGCUGCCGCUGAGCGUGAGUGGCUUUCUGUAGUUGCUGAGAGUUAUAUUGUGAGCAUAAUUCAUACAGCAGCUUUCAUAUACGGCACAUGUAGUCGGCACUGCAUUUAGAAAGAGAAAGUUAUAUUUUCUUCACUGUCUAUUCAAAACUGUUGAUUGAUAAUAAUUGACUCAAGUGAAUGCCACAUCAUCUGCCACAUCAUCUGCCAUGUCAUUCAUAUUUCUGUUUUGAAACCUGUUGUUCCCUUGAUAGCCUUGAAUAUCACCAAUUCGGGAUCCUGCAUUUGAACUCUCUCCUUGUGAAUACCCGGAAUUCUGAUGACCACCUGUGACCUUAUCUCCUUGAACAUACAUUGCAGCCAUGCCACUUGCCAGCGUAGAGACCCUUGCUUCCAUAGCAGAUUCAACACCAAUCAACUGCGCUCUGAAAUCUUUCAGCGGAAUAGAAGUCUCCCUUGCUAAAACUACAGCCUUGACAAUAUCAAACUCCGGUGGUAAUCCAGAUAAAGCAGUAAUAACAAAAUCAUUAUCAGUAAUCCUCUCCCCUGCAGACACAAGCUGAUCCCGAAUGGCUUUCAACCGAAGCAAAUACUUGUCAAUAGAAUCACUGCCUUUUUGAAUUGUAUGAAACUCAAUUUUGAGUUGAUUAAUCCUAGCCCUGGACACAGACGCAUAGCGGUCUUGUAAAUUUAUCCAAGCUUCAUGAGACGUUUUACACCCUAUUACAUAUUCCAUAGCAUCAUCCGACAAAGUAGCAAUUAACAGACUCAAUAGGGCCAUAUCUUUCUGAACCCAAGAUUUAUAAGCUGCUGUGAUUUCUGUAGUCACUCCAUUCUCAGUGUUAACCACAAACUUUGGUGGACAAGGAGACUCACCAGUAAAGAAUUCAAAGAAAUCAUACCCUCGUAAAACCGACUGAAACUGAUAAUUCAACUUAACAAAAUUGUCAUCUUGCAACUUCACAGUCAACAUACCAAGCAAACUUUCAAUGCGUACUGAUUUAUCAGACAUCUUUAUCACAAAGUACUGACAAGAAAUCAAUCUCAAUCACAAAUAUGUUUAACUCCAAACUUCAACAAUGAUCACCUCUUCAAUAUAUUCUCACUACUUCUUGGCAUCGGCCUUCUAUAUGUAUAUACUUCAAAAGCUGAAAUUCCAGCAAUUUCGCAAAUGAACAACUGUAAUCAUAUCACACCACAACUAUAAUUCGUCUAUCUUCAACAAAUCUUGGCAUCAGCCUUAAUCAAAUCCAACACAUAACCCAUAUAUGAAAAACCAAAGAAAACAUUCCAAUUCACCAUAUAUCUUCACUGAAGCAAAAACGCAAACACUUGAUGUGCAAAGAAUAAGGAAAGAAACCAACAACUUGAUUGAAUGACCCUCAACCCAAAAUUCAUCAGCAAGCGUUCAAGCACUUCACCAAUCCUCCAAGAACUCCACCACAGCCUUCAACGAUCGAUCCCAAAGAAUUUCUCAGCGGAAGAAAAUACCCAAAAAAAAAAUCAACCUUGGCUCGAUACCAUCUUAACCAAGAAGAUCAGACUUGCAGAAAGAAAAAGAAAGAAACAAUACAGAGAAUAUAGAAGAAAACUUAGAAAGAAUAUGAAAGGUUUUGUAUUGAUAGAAUGAUAUUUUCUUACAAACAAUAAGCUGCAAUCAGCUUUUUAUAUCCCUAUAGUAGCCUAACUACCUUGCUUACUGUGUAAGCUACACAGCACCAUCCUAACUAACUUUCAACAGAAAUAUGAAUGACAUGGCAGAUGAUGUGGCAGAUGAUGUGGCCUUCACUUGAGUCAAUUAUUAUCAGUCAACAAAAACUUAUAUGUUGCAUGUUCUGGCUUUUAAAGUGAGUCGGCAUCAGAGUUUUUAUUUGAGAAAAAUCAGUUUUGUGUCCAUGUGUUUUCAAAGAAAAUAUUUUUGUUUUUAAUCACUGAUUUUUCAUUGUGCUUCAAUUAGAAAUCAAUUAUGAGAAUCUGCCUUGUGAUUUUCGUAAUUGGUUGAUUUCAAAAAAUCAUUACAUUUCAUACAUUCUGCAUGAUCGCGUUAGUAUCUUGCAAAGUUCGAGGACACAAUGAUUGACGGUCGCGUUAGUGUCGUGCCACUUUCACUUGAAGGCUGAAGAGAUCAAGUAGCAAAGCGCAAUGAAAAAAAUUGCCUACUAGUAUGUGGGUCUAGUUAAUGAGUUUUGUAAGUCUUUCCAUACUCAUUUCUCUUAUUGUUUGUUCUAGCUUAAGAGUCUGAGGAUUUUCUCAGUGGUGAGUUUUACCUUGUUUAAUUCUACAUCAUGUGUACACAUGUUAUUUGUCUUUUUAUUGCAAAUGUGUAGGAUAAUCUUUCACUUAUUUUCUUAUAGUGAACUCUAUCUUAGACAUUCAUCAACAUAUAGAGUUUACGACAGAGGACUUUUGCUACCAUAUUAUUCAGUGCAUUGAUUAAUUUGUAAAGCUCUCAUUUAUCCAAAUUAUAAAAUAUAAUCUGUACAAGACAUUAAAAAAAUGGAAGUGUCUUUCAACAGUUUGGAUGUCAUGUAUGGCCAUAUCCUUUAUUUCCAGAGUAAUGUUAUUCAUACCAUGUUUUUAUACCACAUUUAUAUACCACCUUAGGUGGCAUCUGAUGUGGACAACCACAUUAUUUGAAAAAUUUGCAAAACUCGAGAAAAUGAAGGAGAAAUACUCCUUGUAUGCCACAAUCAUAAUUUAAUUAACUAGUUUUUCUUAAUUAUUAGUUUAUUAAAUAAUGAACUAAAUUUAAAAAUCUGAUUAAUUGAAAUGAUGUGUCUGUUCACAUCAAAUGCCACCGAAUAUGGUAUGAAAAUAUUGUACAAAAACAUAAUAUAAAUAACAUUACUCUUAUUUCCACCAUUCUUAUCAACUGGAUGGGGAUAUAAAGACAUAAUGUGGCAAUCGUCCAUUAGAAAGGUAAUGUACGUUUUGAAAAUCGUGGCAAAUAUUGAAUGAGUAAUGACGCCUCUAAAAAUAAAAUUUAGUUAUUUGAAAGAAUCUUUCAUAAAAUAAAGUAACGAAUAAUCAACAAAAGUAGCAGUACACCAAGUUGAACCUUUUUCAACGUUGAAAUGAAAUAUGAAAGGAGAUCAAGUUGAUAUUAUUCAUCUACUUUUUUUUUUUUAAUAAACGAUAUUGUCUACGUUAAGAAAAUGGACUUGGCUAAGCCUCACAAUGGACUAGCAAUAAUAUGAUUCAAAUUCACAUUUAGCAAGAAUCAAACCAAAAGAAGAGAAAUAUUAUUAGACUGUAACAUUAUUCAUCCACUUUUAAAUAAUAAACAAUCAAGAAAAACACUGCACGCAGUCCCCUCUCGUCACUUACCACUAGUGCCAUCACUUCCCUGAGCAAAAGAGAUAUUUCCAAUUGCUUGACCAAAACAAGCAUUGAGUUCAUCCAUCAAUAACAGGUCCACAUCUCAACCCAAAUAUAAUGACGUCAAAGGAUAGGGGAAAAUGAGAAGGAAACUCUGGAGGGUAGAGGGAAGGAAAAGGAGAAAAGGACAAAGGAAGAAGGGAAAAGUAGAAAGGGAAGGAGGACAAUGAGAGGAAAUUUCGGAGAAUAGAGAAAAGGAGAAGGGAAAAGUAGAAAAGGAGAAAGGAAGGGAUAAGGGGAAGGAAGCUUAGGAGGGUAGGUAGAAGAAUGCAUAAAAAUAAAAAAUAAAAAAUAUAAAAGGAGAGUCGACUUCACCAUUAUGUCUACUAGCGGAAAGGAGCAACAUUGUAAAUUAUAUUUCGUAUAAUGAGAAAUUAGUAUUCCUACUUGAGGAUAUGACACAACUUGCCGAAUCUCGUUACGAUGCAGCAAGUUUAUAAUUGCACAACAAUUUGAUCAACCAUCUUAAGUUCAAGCAUACAUGUAUUAAGAUUCAAAUUUUUCCAGAUUUUCCUUAUGAAACUAACUGAACAUUACAAGUGCCACAUUAUUAUACGGUUCUAUCAAGUUUUAAUUAUUGUCUCAUAACCACAUCAUCUUUAGGACAAUAAUCUUGCGGUUGAAUAUAAAAACCUUCGACAUGGUGAUAUUGGAAACACUAGUUGGUGGGUUGAUUGGUAGAAAUGGUUCCAACACUUCAAGGAUGAGAAAUGAGUAUUGAGCAACGAUCAAAAUAUAUUGUAUUUUAUCACAAAAGAUGUGUGCAAUUAAAAGUGCAUUUUAUUACAAAAAAGAUGAGCAACGACCAAAAUAAUUGUUAUUUAUAAAAUCACACAUAAAACAAGAAGGAAUCUUUUCUUUUUCUUUUCAUCUCUGCCACUAGCGGCCGACCAUGACUUAAACCAUCUCCAACCCUUGGGCUAAAAGCCAAAUUUUUUAGCCCGGAAAAUUUAGCUUUUAACCUAGAAACAUCUUUCUACUCCAACCCUUCUACCCUAAAAUUUUAGCCCGGAAUUAUUAAAGAAUGAAAUUAGCCUAAAUUUUUUUCUUAAAUCAAUUUUUUUUUUAAAAUAAAUAUGUAGAUUAUUGUAAAUUAAUUUUAUGAACAUUUUAAUCUAAAAAAAUUUAAAUUCCGAUAAACAUUUCGCAUUUAGCCCGAGGAAAGCUGGGGGUAUUUGGCCCAGAAAUAGCAUUUAGCAUUUAGCCUAAAAUUUUAGCAUGGGUUGGAGAGUGUUUAGGGGGUAAUUUGGUAGGUAAUUUGGCUUUUAGCCGAAAUGGUCUUAAAGAAACGCUUUUUGGGUCAAUGGAUGGGAACGACCCAUUUUAUAAUAUUGUUUGUAAAUUUUUCUGGAAGUAGAUGGAAAAGACCGAUGUACAUAUUUCCCCUGCUCACAGACAUUUGCAUUGCACCUAGCAAACACCAGUUUUUUUGUUUGAACAUCGAUCCACAUCAAUGGCUCUUGUGAGAACAUCUCCAGGAACCUCCUCUGAUUCCAACACUUUUCGGAGUUAUCGCUACGACGUGUUCUUGAGCUUCAGAGGCGAAGAAACUCGCAAGACUUUUACCGACCACCUCUACACAGCCUUGAACAACGCAGGAUUUCUUACGUUCCGAGACGACGAUGAACUUGAGAGAGGAGAAUAUAUAAAGCCAGGACUGCAGAAAGCGAUCCAGCAGUCGCGAACUUCUGUUGUUGUGUUUUCGAAAGAUUACGCGUCAUCCAGGUGGUGUCUUGAUGAGCUUGUGCUGAUCCUUGAACGCAAGAGGACCACCUCGGACCAUGUAGUUUUACCAGUCUUCUACGAUGUCGAUCCGUCCCACGUGAGGAAGCAGACAGGAAGUGUUGGAAAAGCAUUUGCUAGAAGCCAGAAAAAUCAGUCGUCAGAAAAGGUGGAGGGAUGGAGGAAGGCACUUACAGAGAUUGCAGACCUAGCAGGCAUGGUCUUACAAAAUCAAGCUGAUGGGUAACUUUCAUUAUCUCCAUUUCUCAUUUCUUUCUUGGGUCAAUUUGAUGUAUGAUCCGUAGGGACCUAGAUUUGUAUGUAUUUAUUAAUUCAAUCUCAGUAGUGAAUAAUAAUCUCAAUUUAGGUCAACUUAUAGAAAUCACACUCAACUCAACUGAAGGAUUAGUCAUCUUCAAUGUUAAUCUACUGGUUUCCAGUUGCUUAAAUUUUUUUGAAAGCUGGUGUGGAAAAAAGUUUGGAUAAAUUAUGCGCUGUAUUCCUUUCUCUGUAACUUGAUAUGUGAUGUAUUUGUCUAUAGUUCGUAUAAAUUAUGCGCUGUAUUCCUUUCUCUUUUUUUUUUCAAUUUAAUUUUGUCAGCAGUCCUCUUUUUUUUCUUAUUUAAACAAAGGCAAUCAACAUAUGUUUUAGUUAUCUAAUUUCCCCAAUUCAUUUUUCAUUUUGUUUGCAAAUUCUUAGGUACGAGUCAAAGUUUAUCAAAAAAAUUGUUAAAGUGAUAGGAGACAAGUUAAGUCGCAUGCCAUUGAGUGUUGAACCAAAAUUGAUUGGAAUUCAAUCUCAAGCCGAGCGCAUCAAUUUGUGGUUCCAAGAUGGAUCAAGUGAUGUUGGUAUAUUUGUUGUGUAUGGCAUGUCUGGAAUAGGGAAGACAACCAUUGCAAAACAUGUUUACAAUUCAAACUUUGGAAGCUUUCAAGGAAGUAGUUUCAUUGAAAAUAUCAAAGAAACAGCAGAUCGACCAAAUGGCUUAGUUCAAAUACAAAUGCAACUUCUUUGUGAUAUUUUGAAUGGCAGAGAAGUGAAAAUACACAGUGUUAGUGAGGGAAUAAUUAAGAUUGAAAGGGCCAUAAGCUCUAAAAGAGUUCUACUUGUUCUUGAUGAUGUUGACCAUAUGGACCAAUUAGAUGCAAUCCUAAGGAUGAAAGAUCAGUUUUAUCCUGGAAGUAAGAUACUAAUAACAACUAGGUGUGAAAGGUUGUUAAAGGCAGAUCAAGUUACAGAGGUGCACAGAGUUCAAACUUUGGAUGACAAUGAAUCAUUAAAGCUUUUCAGUUGGCAUGCUUUUGGCCAGGACCAUCCCAUAGAAGAAUACAUGGAGCACUCAAAACAGCUAGUGCAACAUAGCGGCGGACUUCCAUUAGCUCUAAAAGUUUUGGGUUCUUCUUUAUCAGGAGGAAGUAUAGGUGUAUGGGAAAGUGCAUUGGAGAAGCUAAAAGUUAUUCCUGAUGGUGAAAUCAUGACUAAACUAAGAAUAAGCUAUGAAAGUUUAAAAGAUGACCAUGACCGGAAAUUAUUCCUCCACAUUGCUUGUUUCCUAAUAGGAAGGAACAAAAGCUACAUUGUUAGAAUAUUCGAUGGAUGUGAUUUCUAUACAAUCAUUGGCAUGCAAAAUCUCAUUGAUAGAUGCUUGGUGACACUUGAUGAAUACGGCAAGGUGAAAAUGCAUGACAUGAUUCGUGCUAUGGGAAGAGAAAUUGUUCGCCAAGAAUCAGAAGAGCCUGAGAAACGUAGUAGAUUAUGGCGCCAUAAGGAUUCUUUCCAAGUAUUGAGGAAAAAGAAUGUAAGAAACAUGCCUUUUAUGUCUAUAUAUGUAUUUCUUCUUGUGAAAAUUAUGCAUAAUAAUGUCUUUUUUUUUCCUUUAGGGUACAAAAAAAAUCCAAGGUCUUGUCCUGGAUAUGCGUAAUCAUCCUGCAAACAAUCCAAUAAACACAAAUGAGAUAGUCUUGGAAACCAAUGCAUUUGCAAAGAUGCGUAAUUUACAACUACUCCAUCUUAGUCAUGUACGACUGGAUGGAUGUUAUGCAGAUUUCCCUACAGGAUUAAGAUGGUUGUGUUGGCUUGAAUUUCCUUUGGAUUCUAUACCAAUUGAUUUUCCUUUGGAGAACGUAAUUGUUCUUGAAAUGCAAUACAGUAGCUUGAGACAAGUAUGCAAAGGAACAAAAGUAUGUUACUCUAUACAUUUCAAUUCAUUUUACUUAUUUUGUUAGUUUUUUAUUUGUUGAGUAACUCCAUGUGUUAAAAUGAAUUACUAUGUUUUCUUUAAUUCGAUGACUAAUUUUUUAUGUUAGAUACUUAUUUCAUUGUUCUUUUUUCUUUUCUUUUUUUUUUCCUCUAUUUCCACAGUUUCUUCCAUCGUUGAAGAUCCUUGACAUCAGCCAUUCUCAAUGCCUUAGUGAAACCAUUGACUUCUUUUCCCCAAUCUAGAGGAACUGAUUCUUGUAGAUUGCACAAGCCUGAAGAAUGUUCAUGAAUCCAUUGGAAACCUGGAGAGACUCGUGUACUUGAAUAUGAAGGAUUGCAAGAAUCUUAGGAUGCUUCCGAAGAACAUGUGCAUGCUUAAAUCACUUGAAACACUCAUUUUAUCUGGUUGCUCAAAUCUUGAUGAGUUUCCAGUGGAGAUGAUGAAGAAGAUGGAGUCUCUGAAAGUUCUUCAGACAGAUGGAAUUGCAAUAGGUGAAUUGUCGCCAGAAAGAUGUUUGAGUUCUUUUCCAUGCUCUUUAGUAGAGUUAAGUCUGAAGGGGUGCAAUCUUUCUGAUGAUGUCUUUCUUACGGAUUUAAGUAAUCUAUCCUACUUGAGAAGACUACAUUUGGAUGAGAAUCCAAUUUGCAGUCUGCCAGUUUUCAUCAAAGGUUUGAGGAGGAUCGAUGAACUCUCUUUCAAGGGUUGUGAUAGGCUCGAAUCCCUUGUGGGGUUGCCGGAAGUACACCAAAGGAUGAGUAUAGUCGGAUGCAUAUCAUUAAAAAAAAUAACUUUUCAUUCCCCUAAGCAAUUGUAUCCAAUAUAUGUGGGUGACAACUGGAAUCUUGUUGAGUGGGGGUGCUAUUACAAAUUAGAGCCUAUUGAUAGAGUUGAUGUGGAAAUGAUCAAACUUUUGGGCUUGUGCAACUUGGAAUCCAUGCCAGCUGUUCAAAUGCAUUAUCCAGACUCAGACAGCGAUCCAAAAGAGGUCCCCGUCCAGGUGCGCCUUUCUUUCUCUCUCUCAUAAGUCUUAAAUAUAUAAUGGGAAAGAAAUGACUGAGUAAUAUUGUGAUGACUGUGGCAAAUACAUAGGGACUCUAUGAAUGUGGUAUAUUCAGCACGUUUUUUGUUGAGAAUGAGGUCCCAGGCCGGUUCAGCUAUAAAAGUACCAAGUCCUCGAUAUCUUUUAUUGUCCCUUUACUACUUGCUAGUCACAGAAUUCGAGGCUUGAACAUCUUUGCUACCUAUGCAAAGGAAAAUUCAAAUAAUUAUUUUACUAGACCUGGCAUUGCUCCAAUAAUGAUCAAAGUGAGAAACAAGAGUAAGGGUCUGAAGUGGAUCUAUGGCCCAAUAUUCUAUGGUAUCCCAGGUGACGGAGAAGAUAUGAUAUGGUUGAGCCAUUGGAAGAUGGAGAAUAAAACAAUAUUACAAUGUGGAGAUGAAGUGGUGGUUUCGGUAAUAACCGGACCAUGUGACUUGUUUUGGGUAAAGGAGUUUGGUGUCGAGCUUGUGCCAGAGCACCAAGACAAGAUGAGUACCCAACACAACACCAAAUCAGAUCCUAAUUAUCCACUUGUUAUCGGUGGAGAUUUGGAGACGUGGAAGUGCAGACCGGGAAUAUACUUCCUUGGUGGUCGGACAAGUACAGAUACUGACGACAUUGAUAUCCUCACCAUGGACUCUGAUGAAGAAGACACAAGUAUGUUGUGUUGUUGUAUUGCAUUGAAUUAUACUCCAUCGAAACACUUCCAGGUGUGUCUGUAUUCAUUUCAAAAACGUUUCAAUAAAUUUUAUGUUAUUUAUAUGUUUUUCAGACGAAGAAGGGCAAGAGGAUGAAUCUGAUUACACAAUUGCAAAAACGAGGGCUGCUAGCAAUAACUGCAGUUUGAGAGGCUGGAAGGUGCACCUCACGGCUGUCGGCUUCUUUUUCGCGCUUGCUCUAGUAAGUUGGUCCUCCCACUCCCGAAAAAAGAAGCGACAGUCGUCCACAAGCCCACCAUGAGUUUGUAAUUUGACUUGAUAUGGAUAUAUCUUUGCAUUCCUUGCUCUCAAGAUGUUUUCUACCUUCAAAACUUCAGGUUCAGAGCUAAGCAUUCUUAACCGCUUGAGAUAUAAAUGCCCUUUGUAACUAGAUACCGAAGUUCAAAUGUGUUCAACUCCAUCAAAUAUAGCAUAAAAUACAUCCAGCAUUGAAUGCAUGUGUUUUGAACUACAAGAAAUCUUAUACAUUGGGUAGACCGUAUAGUGUAUCACAUUCAAAUGCAAUUAUUCAUGAAGAUGAAGUAUGAGAUGCCCUAAUUGUUUUACCAGAAGAUGCUGGAUCAAUUGUCUCAAAAAAUUAUUUCGGUAAUUGUUGGUAAAACUCAAAGUUAUCCAAAAGUUUGGGGUCAGCAUAAGCUUAUGCAUCAGCAUCAGAUUGUGUCUCCUAUCAGACUGAAGGAAUAAAAUUACUCAAUUUGUGCAAAUAAAAAUAAAAAUUUUAUAACACAUCAAAGAGAUAAUUAAAGGAGACCUCACAAGCUGUACAUCCAAGUGGCAAACAAAUCAAAAUUUUAAAUAAAGCUAAUGGCGCAUGAAGAGUAUUGAAACACUCAUAGCCCUCGCACACAGGUUGCAUGGUCUUUUCUUAUAACAAUAAAAGGAACAAAUUCAUCAAGUCACAUUUGGGCCAUUAAAAAAAGCUACAAAUUCAUCUUUCCAUGUCUUUAUCUCACAAACCCAUAAUGUGGCAAUCCUCCAUUAGAAAGGUAACGUACGUUUUGAAAAACGUGGCAAAUAUUGAAUGAGUAAUGACGCCUCUAAAAAUAAAAUUGAAUUAUUUGAAAGAAUCUCUCAUAAAAUAAAGUAGGGGUAAAGUACAAAAAAUUACUUCAAAUAUUAGUCUCAUGACAUUGUCAUACUUCAUCUUUUAAAAUUGACAAUAUCAUACCUCAUCUUUAGAAUUUGGUCAAUUUUAUACCAUCCUUUAGCCUGACCGUUAAUUUGUCAGUUAAAUACUGACGUGGCUUGAUCCAAACCCCACUUUCUAUUAAAAAAUUAAGAAAAUAUUAAAAACCCCACCCCCUAUCUCUCCUCCCUCAUCUUCUUCCCCUGCUCUGCCCAGAAACGAAACGAACAAAAAAAAAAAAAAAAAAAUCAAAACCCAAUUCGUCCCCACCCCACCCCACCCCCUCUAUCUCCUCCCCCAUCUUCUUCCCCUGCUGCCCAGAAACGAAACGAAAAAAAAAAAAAAAAACUAAAAAUCAAAACCCAGGUCGUCCCCACCCAAGACUUGGGCUCGCACACCCAUGGCUCGCCGGACCUGGGUUGGGUGUCCUCUGGGUGCCUCGGAGCUUCACGGAGACGAAAAGAGAAAGGGUUGACGCCAAUGAUGGUUUUGGUACCGUCGUCGGUGGGUGUGGGUGUGUAAAUGGGUGCGUGAGUGUAGAUCUGGGAGAGGGGUAUAGUCUGUGCGAGAGAGGGGGAGAAAGAGUGAGUGAGCUGAGAGAGAGGGAGAUGUUGGCAUGGGUGGGGAAGGGUGGGGGGUUGCACGGAGGGGGAACGGGAAGGGGUCGGGGUGGGGGGGGGGGAGAUGAGAAUGGGUUCUGGGAUGCAGAGAAGAGAGAAAGGCGAGAGAGAAGGGGAGAGAGAGAGAGGAGAGAGAGAGAGAUUUAAUAUAAAAAUAAAAAAGAGAGGAGAGAGAGAGAUUUAAUAUAUAUUUUUUUAAUUUUUGAAUAUUUAAUUAUUAAAAAUGUAUUUUAUUAUUUUUUAAUCCAAUUGGAUUGGAUUAGUGAGUGGAACACGUGUCGGGCCACGUCAGUAUUUAACAGAAAAAUUAACAGAAAAACUGACGGAGGUGCGACAUUGACACAAAUUCCUAAGAUAAGGUAUGACAUUGUCAAUUUUAAAAGAUGAGGUAUGAAAGUGUCGUGACACCAAUAGUUGAGGUAGUUUUUUUAUACUUUACCCAAUAAAGUAACGAAUAAUCAACAAAAGUAGCAGUACACCAAGUUGAACCUUUUUCAACGUUGAAAUGAAAUAUGAAAGGAGAUCAAGUUGAUAUUAGUCGUCACUUGUAUUUUAUUUUUUUGAAUAAACGAUAUUGUCUACAUUGAGGAGAAUGAGUUCGUUAAGCCUUACAAUGGGCUAGUAAUAAUAUAGUUCAAAUUCGUAUUUGGCGAGAAUCAAAUCUAAAGUUUCUCACUUACAAAUGAAGAGAAAUAUCAUUGGACUAUAACAUUAUUCAUCUACUUAAAAAUAAUGAAUAAUCAAGAAAAACAUUGCACGGUCCCCCUCUCGUCACUUACCACUAGUGGCCAUCACUUCCUUGAGCAAAAGAGAUCUUUCGAAUUGCUUGACCAAAAUAAGAAUUGACUUGGCUGUCCGUCCAUCAAUAACAGGUCCACAUCUCAACCCAAAUAUAAUGACGUCAAAUGAGAAGGAAACUCUGGGGGGUACAGGGAAGGAAAAUGAGAAAAAGGGAAAAGUUGAAGGGGAAGGAGGAAAAUGACAGGAAAUUUCGGAGAAUAGAAAAAAGGAGAAGGGAUAAGAAGGAAAAAUGGGAAGGAAGCUUAGGAGGGUAGAGAAAAAGAGGGAAAUGCAUAAAAAUAAAAAAUAAAAAAGGAAAGUCGCCUUCAUCAUUAUGCCUACUAACGGAAAGGAGCAACCGCAUUGUAAAUUAUAUUUCGUAUAAUGAGAAACCAGUAUUCCUACCCCGAGGAUAUAGACACAACUUGCCGAAUCUCGUUACUAUACAGCAAACAUAUAACUGCACAACAAUUCGAUCAACCACCUUAAGCUCAAUCAUAAAUGUACCAAGAUUCAAGUUUUUCCAAACUUUCCUUAUGAAAUUAACUGAACAUUACAAGUGCCAUAUUAUUAUGCGGUUCUAUCAAGUUUUAAUUUUUGUCUCAUAACCACAUCAUCUUUAGGACAAUCAAUAUUGCAGUUGAAUAUAUAAACCUUCGAUAUGGUGAUAUUGGAAACACUAGUUGGUGGGUUAAUUGGUAGAAAUUGUUCCAACAAUUCAAGGACGAGAAAUGAGUAUUGAGCAACGAUCAAAAUGUGUUGUAUUUUAUCACAAAAGAUGUUUGUGCAAUUAGAAGUACACUAGAAAGUUUGCCCGAUCGUUGCUGCGGGAAUGUCAAAUAUAUUGUAAGUAUUGUAUAUAAAUGUUACAUAAGGGAACAAAUAUGUUGCAAGAAUUGUGUGUAGAAUUUAUAAAACACGUACCAAGUAUUUGCAUAAAAUUUAAAAUAUAUAGUUGUUACUUGUUCAAAUUAUAACAGCUUGUACAAACAUGAGUUUGAAAUUCACCUGCCUUAACUUCUCCACACUUUACACACAGAGACCCUUAUCUUUUUUGGUGGUUUAAAAGCUUGCAAAUCACGGGAGGCUGUCCAUUUUGUUACAAAGAUGCAGAACCAAAAUAUAUAUUUUAUCAAUUUUCGAGAGCAUAAAUGGACAAAUUAAAUUGUAUGUAAAGAAUGUGUAGCAAAAUAUCAAAUAGCAAAAGAAAUCUCAACAUAACUCUACCACAACAAUAAGGAAUCUCAAAUAGAAAAAAGGGAGACUUUGGAUGCGGUCCCUAGUUAUGAAUAGUCUUUGACUGAAACCUUGUUGGUUUUCAAUUUUU